Molecule: long non-coding RNA, 69158 nt
Filed under: Citrus maxima (pomelo)
Lineage: Eukaryota; Viridiplantae; Streptophyta; Magnoliopsida; Sapindales; Rutaceae
Description: long non-coding RNA (CMAX_LNC000490)
Source: RNAcentral
CUCAUCAGAUAUUUCGUUAAAAUUCAUUCUGAAACACUAAAACUAAAUAAUUGAAUAUGGCUUUGCGGGUCGAUGAUGCCAGCAGCAAUGAGACUGCAAUUAUCACUUGUUUAGUUUCUGUGCUUGCCGUGGUUUACUUCGCAUGGAAUGUGAAAAAAUCAAGGAAAGCAAAUGCUAAACUUCCACCAGGACCUCGCGGCUUGCCUGUAGUCGGAUACCUCCCAUUUCUCGGAACUACUGACUUGCACAAGAAAUUCACGGAAUUAUCCGGAGUUUAUGGUCCGAUCUUCAAGCUCUGGCUCGGAAACAAAUUAUGUGUCGUGGCGAGCUCACCUUCCCUAGUUAAACAAGUGGUUCGAGAUCAAGAUACAACAUUCGCCAACCGUGACCCGCCGAUCGCUGUACUAGCGUUCACCUAUGGUGGCAAUGAUAUUGCAUGGUCCAAUUACGGUCCCGAAUGGAGAAAUUUGCGCAAAGCUUUUGUGGGCAAGAUGAUGAGUAACGCAAGCCUUGAUGCUUGUUAUGCUCUAAGAAAACAAGAGGUUAAAAAUACUAUCAGGGAUUUGUACAACAACGACAACAAAAUUGGUAAGCCCAUCGACAUUGGUGAAUUGUCAAUUUCAACCUUGGUAUGUGUUAUUCAGAACAUGCUGUGGGGUGAAGCGCUUGAAACAAGAGAGGAAGGGAUCACUAAUCUUGGGGCUGAGCUAAAAUUUAAGCUGGCAGAACUCAUGGUCCUAAUGGGAACACCGAAUAUUUCGGACGUCUUUCCAGUGCUUUCAUGGUUUGAUAUACAAGGUAUAGAGAGGAAAGCAAAGAAGAUUUCACUCUGGUUUGAAAAUAUUAUAAAUUCUACUGUUGAAAAGUAUAGAAGCAAGGACUUUAUUGUUGAAGGUAAAGAAAGAGCAGGGGAAAAUUUUGAAGGAUCAAGGAACAAGAACUUCUUGCAGUUACUAUUGGAGCUUCAAGAAAAUGAAGACGGUUCUUCCUCAAUUAGCAUGAACCAAUUUAAGGGCGUGCUCGCGGUAUGUUAAGCAACUAGCCACGAACAGUUAUACAAGCACAGUUGUAUAUUUGCAUGAGUGACGCUUCUCAACUUUUUUUAAUUUUUUAAAUUAAAGUUUUAUUGUAAUCUUUUGAACAGGAUAUAAUUACGGGUGGAACCGACACCACAACUACGAUGGUGGAAUGGACAAUGGCAGAGUUGAUGCAGCAUCCACAAGUAAUGAAGAAAGUUCAGGAAGAAUUAGCUCAAGUUGUGGGCAUGGACAGUUGUGUUGAAGAAUUUCAUUUGCCUAAACUGAAAUAUUUAGAUGCUGUGGUGAAAGAAUCGUUUCGUCUGCAUCCUGCAGUGCCUUUAUUAGUACCACGCAGAGCAAGCGAGAGUGGCAGCAUUGGUGGCUAUACCAUUCCCAAAGAUACAACUCUUAUGUUGAAUGUUUGGGCUAUCCACAGGGACCCUCAACUUUGGGAUAAUCCCUUAGAAUUUCGACCCGAGAGGUUUCUGAAUGUUGGUGUCGAGAGUAAGUUCGAUUACUCAGGUAACAAUUUUCAGUACUUACCUUUUGGUUCUGGUAGAAGAAUGUGUGCUGGGAUUCCUCUAGCUGAGAGGAUGCUGAUGUUUGUUUUGGCUUCGUUAUUGCACUCAUUUGAGUGGGAAUUGCCAGCUGGCACAAAGCUAAAUUUAUCUGAAAAAUUUGGGUUUGUCAUUAAGAAAAAAGAGCCUUUGGUUGCUAUUCCAACACCAAGACUAUCCAAUUCAGAGCUUUACCAUUAAAACAGAAUGAUUGUGAUGAUUUUGUUAGUAUCGGAAGAUUUGUAUGUUAUUUCAAGUUCAAUCGUAAUAAAAUAUUUUAAUAAAAGUCCUCCGUUGCUAAUUUUUUUUUUCAACGGCAUAAUCUGUCAUCAUGCUUGUGUUUGGAGCUACUUUGGAAUGAUUAUUUUUGAAUUACAAUUUAUAAAUAUUUAGGUUUUAAAUUUUUUAUAAGAGUCUAAAUUUAUACACGUUCAGUAAAAGAUUCCCUAAAAGCUUUACAAUUCAAAAUUCUAUUAAAAGUAUAGAUGAAACUUUUAUACCUACUAAUUUUUUGGUCUAUUCUACAAGUUUAAAGAGGAGAUAUUUCUAGAGCUAGCAAAAAGAGCUACCUGAUUGUUUUCGCGUUAUGUCAAUUUUUUUAUUGUGUUAAAUUUAAUUUGACCCACAUAUGACCCAUUUAAUAAUCGUGUCAAAAUAUUGAAACUUGAACUUGAUACGGAAAAUAAAUGGAUGACCACACACACCCAUUUAAGAAUUAGGUAACUAUGUCACUUAAUACGACAUAACCCAAUAACUCGUUUAAUACAUAUUUAACAUAAUUUACAUUGUACAUUGUACACCCUUUUGUCAUAAAUUACACUAUUUUAUAUUUCUAAAUAAUAUUAUAUAUUGAUAUUAUAAAAAAAUAUCAAUAAUCUCAAAAUUUGUACACCUCCUAACUUUUAAAAAGAAAUAAAAAAACUAAUUAAUUAAUGUUUAUUUUAUUCAUUAAUAUAUCAUAAUCCUACAUGUAUUUUAUUUGUUAUUUUUUUUAUUUAAAAAGAUAGGAGGGUGGAUGAAACUCAAAUAAAUUUUUAGCCUAUCCUGAUCUUUCAAGUUUCUUAUUUAGGAGGCCAGUUAAAAAAAAUUACUUAGAAAGCUACUCCAUCAAUUUAACAAAUUUUAUUUAUUUAAUUAAUGGAGGUGUAGAAAAUAAAAGUAUCUGCAAGCACAUUGCAAUAGUGAAAGCAAUGUACCGGUGUUGCAACAUAACUGAAUCUUGAUAACCUAUCACAUAUUUUAAGUUUUAAUAUUGGUAGUUCACGGAUCGGUUUCUACUUCCACGAACAAUUAUUGAAGGAAAUGAGUUUUUUUUUUAAUGAAUAUUUAUAGACCCCGAUUAAAUAUUCGAAUAUAUAAUAAAAGAGAAACUGACAUAGAAAUGAGAAAGAUAUUUGGAGGAGGCCAAAAAAAAAAAAAAAAAUGCAACAGAGAAUUAGAUCAGCAACACAAGUAACUAAUUAAUUCAUCUAUACAUCAUAAUCCUAUUUGUAUCUUCUUCCUUCUACUAAUUUACAUAUAAAUUUGGUUAGAUAAAACAUAUUUUAAUACUCGGUCACAAGCGGUGGAUAUAGAAAAUUAAUUUAGAGGGGGUAAUACCAUAACGAAAAAUAAUGAUUCAUAACUAAAAUCAACCCCAACAUCAAAACUUAUUUACAAGAUUACGCCCAGUCAAAGGUAAUUUUUCCUAAAAACUAAUACGAAAUUAAAUAAAUUUAACUUUUAGUGGGUUCAAGUGCCCACGCAUUCUGAACGUAGAUCCACCCCUGGCCCCGACUGAAGCAUUUUUUACAAUAUGUACUCAGUUUAUCAACAGGAACAACCUUCCACUUUAAAUUAAAAUUUUCACUUAAAAAUGAUUAAUGUUAAUGAGGUUAGCAACAAAAAUGAGUUUAAUUAGAGAAUAUUAUAAGAGAAAUUAUAUUUUUUGACUUUUAAUAAAUUAAAAUAUUAUUAGUUGGUGGUGGUUUCACGUCAGAUUAAGACGUGACACUUUACUUAUGAGGUCGAGACAAUCGACUUAAACUAUUUCAAUGCAUUUGAAAUUUGCACUAAUGGCUAUCAUUCUUUGUCCAAAUUAAUACGAUAAUUAAUAACAUACAAUUGAAAUAAUUAAUACUAGCACUUGGCAAUAAAUAAAGCUCUUGUGCUUGAAUCGUCACACAUGAUCACUUCAUUCCUUUAUUUACUUUGCUACCACAAAUUUUGAGGCAUUAUAACUAAAUAAUAAUUGAAUAGGGCUUUGUGUUACUUGUUGUGCGCGCGGAAUGCGGAAUCAAGCACACCAAAUUAUUACAGAAAAAUAAAGGACACAAUUAUUUGACGUGGUUCGGUAAUUAAACUUACAUCCACGGAGGCAAGAAAGAAUAAUUGUUUAUUUAACAAUUAAUAGAGUACAAAUAUUUGAGUAACGAAUCUCACUUCUCAGAAACCUAAAUAUACCCAAUACUCUCACACUCUGCAGGAAAGAUAAAUUAUCCAAACACACUUCUCUCACUUCUCUAAAAAACUUAAAAAUUUAAAAACUUAACAAUUUUGGAAUGCUUUAGAAUAGAAGAAGUGCCAUCUUAUAGGAAAAAUAAUGAUACUAUUGCACCAACCUCUUUACUAUUCCACCUAACAUAAGCAAAUUGUCAAUAGUGUCCAUUUAACUUUUUAUUUUUUUUCUUCAAUUGUUUAGUAGCCCUUUAAAAAUCUGCGUGGUUUCUUGAAAUUUAGAUGCCACAUGCAUGACUUUUCAACACUAAUUACUACGAUAAUUAAUAUUAGCACUUGGCAAUAAAUAAAGCUCUUGUGCUUGAAUCGUCACACACGAUCACUUCAUUCCUUUAUUUGCUUUGCUACCACAGAUUUUGAGGCAUUAAAACUAAAUAAUAAUUGAAUAUGGCUUUGUGCGUCGAUGACGCCAGCAACAAGGGGACCACAAUUAUCACUUUUUAAGUUGCUUUUAAAAUUGAUUUUAAUAGUGAUUUGAUUAUUGUAGUGUUUUUAUUUUUAUAUUAAAAUUAAGUCGAUUUGUUAUAAUAAACUUAGUUGAGUUUAAUGGUAUUACUACAUAAAUUGAAUAGUCAUCAAAUAUUUUAAUGUUUUUAUGGCAAGUGUUGACGUGGCAUUUAUUUGUUGUAUGAUGGAUUUUAAAAUUUAUAAAAUUAUUUGUUAUUAAAUUACCCCCAGAUGCUGCAUCACCUGAAACUUAAUAAAGGGCAUGUAGCAUUGCCAUUACUCAACAUUCACUCUUAUGACUUUAUGACAUUAGAAUUAAAAUCUUUCGUACAUUUAAUUUGUUUGCUUCCAGAUUAAUCUUUAAAAAUAUUUUUUUCACAUUAUCAUGAAUGGACAAAACUCCAACGAAAAUAACUACGCAAGAGCAAUCUAUGCUAGUAUUAUAUGCCACGAUAUCUAUAACUUUGUCAGGUCUCAGGAUCGAUCAUUCUAAUUUUUACGCAGAACUUUUAAUCAAUGGACAAACACCUCACCGAGCUUGUCGGCAGCAUUACUACGAUGUAAAAUUGUACCGGAAUAUCUUGAAGUAUUAGUAGAAUAAUGAAGACUAUUUGGAGCAAUAAAAACAAAUAACGCAGAUAAAAAAAAUGGCUAAAAUUAUGUAAGUGAGCCCCAAAGUUUUUGCUAUUUCCAGGAAAUCCCAAAUUUGAAUGGACUAGAGGGAGGCACGUAAGAAAUACAUUUUCUUCCUAGACAAUGACAGCUAUGACAUCAAGCCACGUAUUGAAAUUAAGGUGUAAUUAUUCAGCCAAUGAGCCUUACACACCAAGAUGUAUAAAAGUCAAGAAAAUGAAAUUUUAUCCCAAUUAAAACACUUUCUGGCUGCAAUUGGCUGUUUCCAUUUGAAGUUAAAAAACAACAACGUUUCUUUCGUUUUGUGGGCGAUUCGAUUGAGCACGCGCCACGAGCUAGCUGGCUUCCAGUGCUUGCGUGUGACAAUAGAAGGCUAGUGAUUUCACUUUCGCUUUUUUUUUUUUUUCUUUUUUUUGGGGAAUCAAGAUAAAAGCCAAGAAAAUGAAAAUUGGGCUGUUUCCAUUUGAAGUUAAAAACAGUGUUUCUUUCGGGGCGUCAAUUUGAUAUUUGAAUGGACAGGCAAGUAAGAAAUACAAUUCCUUCAUAGACAAUGACAACGAGGACAUCAAGGCACAUCAUUAUAGUUUGUAGCCCAUCUACAUUUAAACGAUUAAUAAACAAGCUUAGGUGUGCCACUGCUAUUAUUAAUUAUCCCCUGAUCAUUAUAGUUUCUGAAACAGUAAAACAAAACGAAAUUGAAUACAUCAACGAGAUCGCAAUUAUCACUUGUUUAGUUGCGGUAUUUAACUUAAUUUUAAUCUAAUAUAUUUGUUAGUUAAACUUUUAAUAAUCAAAUAAUUUUGACUUAAAAAUAAAAUUAUAGAAAUUAUUAAUUAUUAAAAAUUCACACAUAGCUAUUGUUUUCUCUAUAUAUUGCAGUGUGUACGAUAUUGAGGGUUGAAGCCCAAAGCAUGCCCUAAAAUCCAGAUAAUAAUUAGAUCCGGGCCAAAUAUUCAUCAUUGUGUCGGCUGAUCAGUCGGUGGACAUCUCUAUUGAAAAAAUCUCUGACAUUUCUCUCGACAAACUUAUUACUAAAAAAAAAUCAGUGGUUUUGCCGUCUGAAUAAUGUAGAAAAAUUUGUCUGUGCAUUAAUCUAGAUGUUUGAGGUGAUUUAUACAUCUGUGAUAAAGAUUUAUAGGUUGACUUAUACGUCUGUGGUAUAGAUUUUAUGUAUUUCAUUACAAAAUGCUGGCCGUUAGAACCCUUUCUACAUCUAUUUAUAAGAUUAACGGGUGCCAGUUAUGCCAUUACAAAUUAUCCCCUCAUCAGAUAUUUCGUUAAAAUUCAUUCUGAAACACUAAAACUAAAUAAUCGAACAUGGCUUUGCGGGUCGAUGAUGCCAGAAGCAAUUCGACUGCAAUUAUCACUUGUUUAGUUUCUGUGCUUGCCGUGGUUUACUUGGCAUGGAAUGUGAAAAAAUCAAGGAAAGCAAAUGCUAAACUGCCACCAGGACCUCCCGGCUUGCCUGUAGUCGGAUACCUCCCAUUUCUCGGAACUACUGACUUGCACAAGAAAUUCACGGAAUUAUCCGGAGUUUACGGUCCGAUCUUCAAGCUCUGGCUCGGAAAUAAAUUAUGUGUAGUGGUGAGCUCACCUUCCCUAAUUAGACAAGUGGUUCGUGAUCAAGAUACAACAUUCGCGAACCGUGACCCACCGAAGGCUGCACUAGUGGUCUCCUAUGGUGGCAAUGAUAUUGCAUGGUCCAAUUACGGUCCCGAAUGGAGAAAGUUGCGCAAAUUUUUUGUGGGCAAGAUGAUGAGUAACGCAAGCCUUGAUGCUUGUUAUGCUCUAAGAAAACAAGAGGUUAAAAAUACUAUCAGGGAUUUGUAUAACAACGACAACAAAAUUGGCAAGCCCAUUGACAUUGGUGAAUUGUCGUUUUCAACAUUGGUAUGUGCUAUACAGAACAUGCUGUGGGGUGAAGCGCUUGAAAUAAGAGAGAAAGGGACCACUAAUCUUGGGGCUGGGCUAAAAUUUAAGCUGGCAGAACUCAUGGUGCUUGCGGGAACACCGAAUAUUUCGGAUGUCUUUCCAAUGCUUUCAUGGCUUGACAUACAAGGUAUAGAGAGGAGAGCAAAGAAGAUUUCACUCUGGCUUGAAAAUGUUAUAAAUUCUACUGUUGAACAGCAUAGAAACAAGGAGUCAACUGUUGAAGGUGAAGAAAGAGCGGGGAAAAAUUUUGAAGGAUCAAGGAACAAGAACUUCUUGCAGUUACUAUUGGAGCUUCAAGAAAAUGAUGACAGUGCUUCCUCAAUUAGCAUGAACCAAUUCAAGGCCGUACUCAUGGUAUGUUAAGUAACUAGCAACGAACAGUUAUACAAGCACAGUUGUAUAUUUGCAUGAGUGAUAUUUUCAACCUUUUUUUUUAAUUAGAAUUUUAUUGUCACCUUUUGGACAGGAUAUAAUUACGGCUGGAACCGACACCACAGCUACGAUGGUGGAAUGGACAAUGGCAGAGUUGAUGCAGCAUCCACAAGUAAUGAAGAACGUUCAGGAAGAAUUAGCUCAAGUUGUGGGCAUGGACAGUUGUGUUGAAGAAUUUCACCUGUCUAGAUUAAAGUAUUUAGAUGCUGUGGUGAAGGAAACAUUUCGUCUGCAUCCUGCAGUGCCUUUAUUAGUACCACGCAGAGCAAGCGAGAGUGGCAGCAUUGGUGGCUAUACCAUUCCCAAAGAUACAACUCUUAUGUUGAAUGUUUGGGCUAUCCACAGGGACCCUCACCUUUGGGAUAAUCCCUUAGAAUUUCGACCCGAGAGGUUUCUGAAUGUUGGUGUCGAGAGUAAGUUCGAUUACUCAGGUAACAAUUUUCAGUACUUGCCAUUUGGUUCUGGUAGAAGAAUGUGUGCUGGGAUUCCUCUAGCUGAGAGGAUGCUGAUGUUUGUUUUGGCUUCGUUAUUGCACUCAUUUGAGUGGGAAUUGCCAGCUGGCACAAAGCUAAACUUAUCUGAAAAAUUUGGGAUUGUCAUUAAGAAAAAAGAGCCUUUGGUUGCUAUUCCAACACCAAGACUAUCCAAUUCAGAGCUCUACCAUUAAGACAAAAUGGUUGUGAUGAUUUUGUUAAUUUUCCGAAGAUUUGUAUGUUAUUUAGUUCAAUCGUAAUAAAAUAUUUCAAAUAAGAGUCCUCCGUUGCUUUUUUUUUUUUUUUUUUUUCAACGGCAUAAUCUGUCGUCAUGCUUGUAUUUGGAGCUACUUUGGAAUAAUUAUGUUUGAAUUACAAUUUAUAAAUAUUUACGUUUUAAAUUUUUUAUAAGAGUCUAAAUUUAUACACGUUUAAUAUCCCGCUUCAUAGAUAUUUAACACAAUUUAUAUCAUACAUUGUAUACCCAUUUGUCAUAAAUUAUACUAUUUUGUAUCUCUAAAUAAUAUUACGUAUUGAUAUUAUAAUAUAUAUAUAUAUGUUUAUCAAAAGACUAUACCAUUCAAUAUAUAUUGAAAAGAGAACAAAGAAGAUUUUCUUAUGGUUUAAAAAUAUUAUGAAUUCUGCUGUUGAACAGUAUGGAAACAAGGUCUCUGUUGUUAAAGGUGAAGAAGCAACAGGGAACAAUAUUGAAGGAAGAAAUUUCACAUGUUUAGUUGCUGAAUUUGCCGCUGUAUUCUAUCGGUAGUAGAGUUUUUAUUUUUCUCUAUUAAUUUAAGUCAAUUUUCUAUAACAAAUUCGGUUGAGUUUAAUUGUGUUAUAAUAUAAAUUGAAUGAUAAUAGAAUUUUCAACAAAUAUUUCAAUAUUUCUAUCUCGAUUGUUGAAGUGCCAUUUAUUUGUUAUGCGAUCGAUUUUAAAAUUUAUAAAAUUAUUUGUUACUAAAUUGCAUCAUAUGCUAAAAUCACCUGAAACCUAAUUCCAUAACUAACCCUUUAUUUUUAGUUCUCAAGAAAUCUUGUAAGAACAAAAAUCUUUUAUAACAAAACUUUUACAACACAUUAAUUUGUAACUCAUUCCUGUGCGCGAAUCACUCUCAAUUUCCUUCAAUUGCUGUUUAACAAUCAUCUACUUAUCAAAAUUCAAGCAUAAUCUUUUUUUUUUAAUUUCUUCAUCAUUCUUUAAAAAAAAAAUCAGGAUAUGCUGUUAAAUUUUGAAAUAAAUAAAUUAACCAAAGUUGGUUGAUGUGAGUGGUUCAAUGAUGAGCAUAAUUUAUAUACAUAUUUUACCUUUAAUUAUAUAAUUAUUAGUUAUUUUUAUUAGUUAUUUUUAAUUAAUUGAAUUAUUUUAUUGCAUAGAGAAUUAAUUGGAGAUUGGGAAACAAAAAGUGCAUAAAGAAUAACAAGUUUGGGAAAGCAUCAAUCAAAGCCGUGACGCAAUUAAGAGUUUAUAGCAUAUGAAGCCAAGAGUAAUUUGCACUCAAAAAGAAUUUCAAUUAUUCAAGUGACCUGGACCUGCAUGGCAUUGUAAUGCAUGGAAAGCAACUUAAAGGGGCCCACACUUGGCUUUUACAAUUGGAAAAAGGAAUCCUAGUGCAAGCUUAAUUGAUGAGCACGUGAGUGAGAGCAAAGAAAAUUAAAAGGCCAAGCCUUUUGGCUUAAGGAAAUAACAAGGUCGGUGGGGCCCAUUUUAAAGAGUAAUAUAAAAGCAAGCUUUUGGCUUUUGGAGAGAGGAGCCGCGAGAGGAGGAAAACGCAAGACAAAGAGAAGAAAAUCUGCAGCAGUUCGGCUUCUAUGGUUGGUUUUAUCUCUUUUGUUACUCUUAAUUCAAAUAUGUCUAGUUAAUUUUCUUAUAUUAAAGUUAAGGAUGAAACCCUAUUCAAUGAAAUAAUUAUCUUUUUAUUUAUUUAAUUCCCAUAUAUGUUCUUUAAUGAUUAUGAUUUUUAUUUCACAUGAUUAAUUGGAUGUUAUUAAAAUUUUUUCAUCAAUUCUGUCAUGCAUUAUUGAUUGUUAGGAUUAAUAUUCAAUUAAAUCUAUACUUAGAUUUAUAACGUUUAUACAUGAUUAUCUUUGAUUCUAUGUCUUUCAUUAAAUUGUUUACAUGGAGUGCUUAGGAAAACUUUGACUCUUUGUUAUUCAAUAUGUUCACAUGGGAUACUUAGAUGUCAUACUAUUAAGCGGAAAAAGAACCUAUAUUAGAUUUAAUUAUUUGGGCUUAAUUGUUAUAUCCAUGAGAUGACACAAAUUGAUUUCGAGUUGUCACUCUAAAAUUAGAGAUUAAUGAAUAUUUAGAUAAUUACUAGUUGAAUAGCGGUGGAUUCUGAAACCUUGGUAAUUUCUAUCUUAUUGAAUUCUCCUUUACUUUAAUUGUUUUCUUAGUUUAAUUAAUUUAAUUUCUUUUAAAACUCAAUUUGCUUAACUAGGUUAGAAUUAAUAUUAAUUUUAGAUUUAAAUUAGACUUUUCAAUUUAUAACAAUCCAUGUGGGAUCGACCUCGUUACCACUACUUUAUUUCUAGAUUCGUGCACUUGCGAGUAUAUUAAAAUUUUCACAACAAGUUUUUGGCGCCGUUGCCGGGGAUUGUGCCAGAAAGUCAGUUUAAUCUAGGUUGAUUUGAUUCUUCCACUAGUUAUAAUUUAUGUUGUCUUUUAUUUUAUUAUUAUUUUUAAUUAACAAAAACACACAAAAAAACUUUUAUUUUUCUUUAAAUUCAUUGUUUGGUUGUUUGAUUUCUUUUAUUUUUUAAAUUUUGUUUAUUCUCAUUAUUGUUGGUUUAUUUUAUUUUAUUUUUUUCUUUCCUUGUCUAGUUAGUUUAUGAGUGUUUGGGAAUGUGAUUCAACAAAUCGUUUGGUAAAAGAGAGUCAAAAAUUGAUAGUAGUCAAGUUAGUUCUUCUGAAGUCAUGGAUGACCCAAAUAGAUUAUUGCCAAUACUUCCACCAGUGCAAGCAGAGAAAACCCUUAGAGAAUAUUUUUCACCACUUGCAGCCAACCAACCAUCUUGUAUUGUGUUGCCACAAACUACAGCAACACACUUUGAACUUUUUGAACUUAAGCCCUCAGUCAUCCAACUUUUACCAUCUUUCCAUGGGUUAGAGAGAGAGGAUCCAUAUUUGCACAUUAAGGAAUUUCUUGACAUAUGCUCUACAUUCCGUUUUCAAAAUUUUAAUGAUGAGUUAAUCAGGCUUCGUAUGUUAUCUUUCUCAUUAAAAGACAAAGCAAAAGCUUGGUUGAAUUCGCUUUCUGCUGGGUCUAUAACUACGUGGGAUGAAUUGAAUAAUAAGUUCCUCACCAAGUUUUUCCCUAUGUCUAAAACAAAUGCCCUUAGGAGAGAGAUAAGUGAUUUCUAUUAAAGAGAGGGUGAGCAAUUUUAUGAGUGUUGGGAAAGAUUCAAUGAUUUACUCCUCAAGUGCCCCCACCAUGGUUUUGAGAAAUGGAGACUUAUACAAUGCUUUUAUAACGGUUUAACCAUGUCGAAUCGUCAUAUGGUAGAGUCUAUGAAUGGUGGGAGAUUUUUGAACCUACAUGAAGGGGCUGCAUGGGAUUUCUUUAAUUCACUUUCUGAGAAUUCUCAACAGUGAGAUUUUUCAAGCCAAAGGGAAAAAUCAUCUCAAGUUUCUAGAAAGGGGUUAUAUGAAGUUAAGGAUGAUUUUGAUGUGAAAUCCACUCUAAUUACACUUUCUAGAAAAGUAGAUGCCUUAGCUCUGAACCAAUCAAUGAAUCAUCAUCCUAGUGUAGCUAAUGAGGUUUGUGCUAUUUGUUCUAACUUGUCUCAAACAGCACAAAACUGUCCAUCAUUACCAGUCUAUCCAGAGGCUUAUUCUGAGCAGGUACAUGCCUUACAAUCAUAUGAGAAAACCUCCAAUAAUACAUAUUCACUCACAUAUAAUCCUAAUUGGAGGAAUCACCCUAAUUUUUCUUGGAAACAAAAUCAAUCUUUGUCAAACCAAGGAGGACAACAAUUUAACAUGCCCAAUCAACAAUUUGUCCCUCCUAACCAAGUAUAUCCUCCUGCCCAACAACCUAUAUCUCAAUUUGUUACACCCCAACAAAGAAAACCUUCUUUAGAGGAUACACUUCAAAGUUUCAUUCAGUCAACCUAAUAAGCUUUUCAGUCAAACACUCAAGCUAUUCUAAAGCUUGAACAUCAAUUGGGUCAAUUAGCAACUACUGUAGCGGAGAAAGAAAAAAGAAAAUUCCCCAGUCAAUCAAUUCCUAAUCCUAAAGGAGUGCAUGAAGUUGGAUCGAGUUCAAGCCAUCAGCAUGAAGAAGCAAAAUCAAUUAUGACCUUGAGAAGAGGAAAAUUGUUUGACAACAAAGUGGAGGUUCAAACAAAGAAGACAUCUGAGCCUACUUCUUCAGAUCCAAUUACAUCACAAGAAUCAUCACCAAAUGAUCUUGAAGAGAGUGACCCGCUAGCUUACAUUCCCAAGGCUCAUUUUCCUCAAAGGUUAACAAAGGUAAAGAAAGGGACUUCAACAUGUGAGAUUAUAGAAAUCUUCAAGCAGGUAAGUAUAAACAUCCAUUUACUCGAUGCUAUUAAGCAAGUUCCUUCCUAUGCCAAGUUUUUGAAAGAUUUAUGCACUAAAAAGAGAAAUUUGCAUGUCACUAAAAAGGCGUUUUUAACUGAACAAACUAGCAAUUUACUUCAAUGUAAAAUGCCACCAAAAUUUAAGGAUCCUGGUUCUCCUACUAUUUCAUGUGUUAUAGGGAACCAAUGUUUUGAUAAAGCAUUAUUGGAUUUAGGUGCUAGUGUUAAUCUCUUACCUUAUUCCAUUUACAUGCAGCUUGGACUAGGUGAGUUAAAAUCAACUCCUAUUAUUUUGCAACUUGCUGAUAGGUCAAUGAAAAUACCUCGUGGUAUUAUAGAGGAUGUGUUGAUACAGAUUGACAAAUUUUAUUAUCCUGUUGAUUUUAUUGUUAUUGAUACUCAACAUGUACAUGAUCUUAAGAAACACACUCCACUUAUUCUUGGUCGUCCUUUCUUAGCUACAGCUGAUGCUCAUAUUAGUUGCAGGACUUGAAACAUGCAAUUGUCUUUUGGUAACAUGACCAUGGAAUUAAAUAUUUUUAAUGUUCCCAAGCAGGCACAAGAAGAUGAUGAAGUCGUUGAAGUAGAUAUGAUAGAAGCAUCAAUUGAUGACUCACUUAUUUCUAACCAUUGUGACAAUCCAUUAAUACCUUGCACAACUGACUCUGAUUUCUCUAUUGAUGUUGAUAGUGAUAUUGAAGAAGUUAAUGCUUUACUUGAUUCGACUCUUAUCAUAGAUCUAAUUAAGUGGAAAGAAAAGAUAAGAUUGAGCCACUUCCUCCUGAAGAGAAAAGUGCAACAUAGGUCACAUUCUGACAUAAAAAAGGUGGUAAGAUCUAAAACGCUUAAAUUAUUAGAUUUUUAUACUACUUUAGAUAACUCUCAGGAAAGCUUAGAACAGAAGAGAUCAAAGCAAUGCGAUAUUGAGGAGUUUCAUUACCAUCAUCCUUUUAUGGAUAAAAUGCUCCAGUGCUUAAUCAAUUAUGCUUUUUGGUAUUUUCUAUAUAAUUGCUUUAAUUUUCACCAAAUUCUUAUUGAUCCUGGUUGAUUUGUUGUUUACAUUAAUUAGUUAGUUAGUCGGAUUUUUUUAUUAUUAUUUAUAUUUCUUCUAACGUUUUCUUUUGAGUUGUCAUUCUUUUAAGUUUUCCUAGCUCAGUCAGGUGUGUUCUCUCCAACUUUCUCUUUUAUUAUUUAUGUUUUUAUUUUUCAUCUUUUUGCGUGCAUAUCUUUUAUUUAUGACACAUUGAGGACAAUGUUCCGAAUAAGUUUGGGGGUGGGAAUAAUGUUGCUUUGUUUGUUAAAAAAAACUAAAAAAAAAUUUCAAAAAUUCAAAAAAAAAUUGUGUUUUUUUUGUUUUUACGUGAAAAGCCAAUGAUAAAAACUUGAUUGACAAUGAAUAUGGUUUUUAGAAAGGGUUUAAUAUUGUCUUAAUUUAUACUUGAUUCUUAUGUUAGUUCCUCUUGAUUGAGAUUCUUUAAAAUAUAAGCACUAAUAUCAAUUCUUUCAUAAUUUUGACUUGAAAUUUGAGAUUGACGCAGCCUGAGUUGAGAAUUUUAGAUAGAGUAAAUGACUGUUUGUCUUUAUUCUUAUCUCCACAAUACAAAAUAGUAUACACAGGCACCAAAGUCAGAAAUAACUACCUAUAAUCCUUAAGAGUGAAGCUAUCCUUGAGUAAUUUAGGCCUAUGUACCACAAGUAUGUAGAGGAUAAUCUACCAUGAGAAGAAUGCUACCUUAAGGGGUAGAGUGAAAGCUCCUGACUAUGGUUAAAAAAAAAAGAAGAAGAAAAAGAGAAAGAAAAAAUCAAAUCAAGUGCAUGUGCUGAAAAAAAAAUCAAAAGAAAAUGCACAUAAAAGCCUGUGAAAAAAAAAUUGGAGAUUAAGAUGAUAAGAUUAGCUUGACCUACUCUUUUCUUUUUUUGAGGCGAAGGUUGUUGAUAUUGAAGAUUUUAGGAAUGAAUUUGAUUGAAUUGAUUUCACACACACACAACAAGAAUCGAAAGAGAGAUGGGAUUGAUUAUUGAAUUAAAGUUAGAACUUUGCCAAUAUUUGAAAUUUUGUUUGAGCUAUAUAAUUUAUGCAAUCUUUGAGGGUAUUUUCAUAUUUUAUUUAAAGUUUUUUUUUCUUUUUAUUUUAUUUUAUUUAUUUUUUAUUUUUUUAAAAUGAUGUUUGUGGGUGUCAUCACUGAAGCUCUCACGAGACUAUAACUCGUCCACUAGGGGUUUAAAGGCUUGUUGCAUACGCUAAAUGCAAUCGCGAUUACCUGCGAAAAUGGUUUAGUUAGGAUUUACUUUUUGUUUUGUUAUUUUUUUUUUUUUUUUUAGUUUUAGCUUUGCUCGAGGACUAGCAAAAUCUAAGUUUGGGGGUAUUUGAUGAGCAUAAUUUAUAUACAUAUUUUACCUUUAAUUAUAUAAUUAUUAGUUAUCUUUAUUAGUUAUUUUUAAUUAAUUGAAUUAUUUUAUUGCAUAGGGAAUUAAUUGGAGAUUGGGAAACAAAAAGUGCAUAAAGAAUAACAAGUUUGGGAAAGCAUCAAUCAAAGCCAUGACACAAUUAAGAGUUUAUAGCAUAUGAAGGCAAGAGUAAUUUGCACUAAAAAAGAAUUUCAAUUAUUCAAGUGAUCUGGACGUGCAUAGUAUUGUAAUGCAUGGAAAGCAACUUAAAGGGGCCCACACUUGGCUUUUACAAUUGGAAAAAGGAAUCCUAGUGCAAGCUUAAUUGGUGAGCACGUGAGUGAGAGCAAAGAAAAUUAAAAGGCCAAGCCUUUUGGCUUAAGGAAAUAACAAGGUCGGUGGGGCCCAUUUUAAAGAGUAAUAUAAAAGCAAGCUUUUGGCUUUUGGAGAGAGAAGCCGCCAGAGGAGGAAAACGCGAGACAAAGAGAAGAAAAUAUGCCGCAGUUCGACUUCUAUGGUUGGUUUUAUCUCUUUUGUUACUCUUAAUUCAAGUAUGUCUAGCUAAUUUUCUUAUAUUGAAGUUAAGGAUGAAAUCAUAUUCAAUGAAAUAAUUAUCUUUUUAUUUAUUUAAUUCCCAUAUAUGUUCUUUAAUGAUUAUGAUUUUUAUUUCACAUGAUUAAUUGGAUGUUAUUAAAAUCUUUUCAUCAAUUCUGUCAUAUAUUAUUGAUUGUUAUGAUUAAUAUUAAAUUAAAUCUAUACUUGGAUUUAUAAAGUUUAUACAUGAUUAUCUUUGAUUCUAUGUCUUUCAUUAAAUUGUUUACAUGGAGUGCCUAGGAAAACUUUGACUCUUUGUUAUUCAAUAUGUUCACAUGGGAUACUUAGAUGUCGUACUAUUAAGCGGAAAAAGAACCUAUAUUAGAUUUAAUUAUUUGGGCUUAAUUGUUAUAUCCAUGAGAUGACAUAGAUUGAUUUCGAGUUGUCACUCUAAAAUUGGGGAUUAAUGAAUAUUUAGAUAAUUACUAGUUGAAUAGUGGUGGAUUCUGAAACCUUGGUAAUUUCUAUCUUAUUGAAUUCUCCUUUACUUUAAUUGUUUUCUUAGUUUAAUUAGUUUAAUUUCUCUUAAAACUCAAUUCGCUCAACUAGGUUAGAAUUAAUAUUAAUUUUAGAUUUAAAUUAGACUUUUCAAUUUAUAACAAUCCCUGUGGGAUCGACCUCGUUACCACUACUCUAUUUCUAGAUUCGUGCGCUUGCGAGUAUAUUAAAAUUUUCACAACAUUCGGCACUCUCACUCCUUAAGAGAGGUCAGGGGUUCAAGCCUCGCUCUCGUAUGGAGUCACCACUUUGACCAGCACUUUACCCCUUACAGACCGACCCGGUGCGAGCAUGAAUUAGUCUGGGUUGUGGUACGGGCUUAAAGGUGCCUCCCACAAUUGAGACCCACUCAGGACCACCUCGUGGUUCGGACAAAAAAAAAAUUGAAAUAAAUUAUCUCAAAAUAAUUACUAACCAGAAAAAACAAAGGGGUUUAACUAGGUUAUGCAUACCUUUGAAAAUUAUAUGUUGAUCGAUAAGCAUGAUGAUCACGAUUGAGGAGUUUAAUUAAAAUUUAUAAGAUUUUAAAAUUAAUCAGGGUUAAAUUCUAAAUUUUAGAAAGAGAGGUUUUGUGAGAAUGCUGAAAGGGUGUUAAUAGUUCCACUCUUUUUUAAAAAAACCAUAGUCAUCAUUUUUCCCGAUUUCUUCUUCCCAUCUCCAUCUUAUUUAGAAAUUUCCCAGAGCCUUUGUUUCCCACCAUUCAUUUUUCUUCUUUCUAAUUUAAGAUUAUAGUAUUAUAAAAAUAAUUACUCACAUUUUAUCAAACACCUCCAUUAUACCAAGGCCUUGUUUUAGUAGUAGGCUUUUAUUAUCUCAAUAAAAUUGAAAAAACAAAGCUCAAUAAUAUUGGAAAAAAAACCUACCCAUAUUUGUAACUUUAAUUUAUUAUUCUCCAUAGACCUACUUUUUAGCUUUGAAUUUUGUUGGAGCCAUAUAUAAACAGAAUAUGUUGAAAUCAGCACAAAAAAAAAACUAAUUAUAUAAUUUUUGUUCCCAAGGACACGACUGUGUGAUUUUUAAGAAGUUUUGUUUGGCUGGCCACUUAGGUUUAAAUCUUGGUGGAGAUUAGGGGUUAAGAAAUAAAUUUGGACUUUGCACACCCCUUUAACUUUUAAAAAGAAUGAAAAAAACUAAUUAAUUAAUCUUUAUUUUAUUUAUUAAAUGUCAUAAUCAUAUGCAUAUUUUAUUUGUUAUCUUUCUAUUUAAAAGAUAGGAGGGCAAAUAAAACUGAAAUAAAUGUUUAUCCCUAUCUCCAUCUUUCAAGUUCCAUAGUUAGGUGACCAGCUAAAGAAAAUUAAUUGAAAGUUACUCCAUCAAAUUAAAAAAAAUUAUUUAUUUAAUUUGUGGAGAUGUAGAAAAUCAAACCCCAUACCUUUUCGCAUGCAAAAGUGUCAACCUGGUCUAGCUAUGUUGCAACAGUAAACAUAUUUUAAUACAUGACUAUCAUCUUUUAUCCUAAAUACUACUAUAACUAUGGGUUCAGUUAUGCUGUAACUGUGGUAUGGUACCACAGUUGUUUUCAACCAUUAAAUUCAACUUAUAUAACUAUGCAACUGUAGAUCUAACGGCUGAAAGCAACUAUGGUACCAUACCACAGUUGCAACAUAGUUUUGCCCCUAUAACUCAUAACAUUCAAUUGAAAUAAUAAAUGUUAACACUUGGCUAUAAAUAAAGGUUUUGUACUUGAAUCUUCAUGCAUGACCUUCAUUCCUUUAUUGACUUUGCUAACACAGAUUUUGAGGCAUUAAAACUAAAUAAUAAUUGACUUUGUGGGCCGAGGAUGCCAGCAACAAGGAGACCACAAUUAUCACUAGUUAAGUUACUCUAAUUGCCGUUGUCUUAUAUUCAUAAAAUAUUAGUAAUAAGAUUAUUGUAGAAUUUUUUUAUAUUAAAAUUAAGUCAAUUUGUUAUAACAAAUUUAGUUGAGUUUAAUCGUGUUACUACAUACAUUGAAUAAUAAUAGAAUUCUCGACAAAUAUUUCAAUAUUUUUAUCCCAAGCGUUGGAGUGGCAUUUAUUUGUUAGACAAUCGAUUUUAGAACUUAUAAAAUUAUUCGUUACUGAAUUGCACCAUAUGCUGCAUGACCUGAAACUUAAUAAACGGAACGUAGCGUUGGCAACAUUCACUGUCAUGACUUUGUGACAUUAGAAUUAAAUUUUUUUGCACAUUUAAUUUGUUUACUUCCAAAUUAAUAUUUAACAAAAUAUUUUUUCACAUUAUCAAUGGACAAAACUCCAACGAAAAUAACUAUACAAUAUAUGCUAGUAUUGUAUGCCAUAUCAUCUGUAAUUUUGUCAGGAUCGAUCAUUUUAAUUUUUAAGCAAAACUUUUUAUCAAUGGACAAACACCUCACACAGCUUGUCAGAGGCAUUAUUAUGAUGGAAAACUGAUAAACAGUGAACUCGAAACUCAAUUACUACAAGUCGUUUAGAGGAUUCAGUCUUGGAUGACUUGUCACUUGUGGAAUUCUUGAAGCCAGAACCGACAUAAUCUCAGUCGUCAUUCUGUCUUAAGUAAUACACAUGGUUUGCAUGUGUGUUGAAGCUGACUCUUUGCUUGGAUCAAGAAACGACGUCUUUGAGUGCCGUUUCUUAAACACACUUUAAAUCAGCUUGUGUCAAGCACGUGAGGUAGAGCUUUUUGAAUAGAUUUGGCGGGAAUGGUAGUUAGUGUAACAACCCAGAAAUAGAGGUUAAAAGGUGAAGGCUUUGUCAUCAUCUACACAUGAUUUGGGAAACAUUGAGAGUAGAGAAAAAGAUAGAGAGAGAAAGGGGUUAACAAGUUCUUGUUCUCUGUAAAUCGAUUUAUAUUCUUGUAAAGUUUGUGAUCUCAAUUAGUGAAAGACUGUUGCUUUGUUUCCAGUGGAUGUAGGCACCACUUCUUGGUGCUGAACCACUUAUACUUGGUGUCAUAUUGUUUCUUUAAUGCUUUGAUUCUUGCGUGUGAUUGUUGCUGGAUAAUCUGUGCUGUUAAUUCUCAAACCAUUGAUACAGAAUUAAUGUCUUGGGGAGAAUUUGGUUAGUCUUAUCAAAGCCGAAUUCACAACAAAUUGGUAUCAGAGCCCUCUUUUCUGUAUCAAGGUUCAAGAAAUGACUAACAAGGUGGAUCUUGAGAAGUUCAAUGGUCAGAAUGAUUUCAAUAUGUGGAGGAUCAAGAUGGAAGCAUUGUUAAUCACACAAGGUCUGGGAGAUGCCAUUGAUCCAGUCAUUAAGAGUGAAAAUGCAGAAGCCUAUUCUUCAAGAACUCCAGAACAGAUGGCUAAGAUUGAAAAAAAGGCAAGAAGCACCAUCAUCCUCAGUCUUGGUGACUUAGUGAUAAGGGAAGUUGCCAAGAAAAAGACUGUUGCUAGGCUCUGGGCAAAACUGGAACAAUUGUAUAUGACAAAGUCCUUAGCAAACAGGCUAUACAUCAAGAAAAAGAUGUUCUCACUGAGGAUGAUUGAAGGAGCAUCACUUGAUGAACACAUAGAUGAGUUUAAUAAAGUUUGUGAUGAACUGGAAACAAUUGAUGAAGGACUGAGUGAUGAGAGCAAGGCUUUGCUGUUAAUCAGUUCUUCACCAAAAUCAUAUGAACAUUUUGUGGAUGCCUUGUUAUAUGGAAGGCAAUCACUCUCCUUGGAAGAGGUUAAAUCUACUCUUGGUACCAAGAAGUUAAAAGAAAAACAAGAUAACUCAGAGAGUGAAUCAAGUGAAGGGCUGAUGGCAAGGGGCAGAUCUGAAAAAAAGGAGUACAAAGGAAAAAAACAAGGGAGAUCAAAGUCAAAGCAGAAACAUUUGAAGUGUUUUCACUGCCACAAAGAAGGGCAUUUCAAGAGGGAUUGCCCUGAGAGAAAAACAAAGCAAAAGGAAUCAAAAGACAAAUCUGGAAAUACAGCAAUAGCCACAGAAGAAACCAGUUUUGAGAUAGCUGAAGUCCUCAUUGCCACAAAAGAAAAAAACUCAAGGUCAGUGGGUACUAGACUCUGGAUGUACUUUUCAUAUGAGUCCAAAUAGAAAUUACUUUACUACAUAUCAGUCCUGUGAUGGGGGUAUGGUGCUGAUGGGAAAUAAUUCAGUUUGUAAAGCAGUUGGGAUUGGGACUGUAAGCCUUAAGAUGUAUGAUGGCAUGGUUAGAGAACUAACUCAGUUUAGGCAUGUUCCUGAGCUUAAAAGGAACCUAAUAUCUAUUGGCAUGCUUGAUCAAACUGGAUGUGUCAAUAAGGCUGAAAAUGGGUCAUUGAAAGUUAUCAGAGGCUCAAUAGUCAUAAUGAAAAGUUCCAAGCAAAAUGGUUUGUAUGUGUUGAAUGGACAUACAACUGUUGGAGAGGCAAGUGUCACUGAGAAGAGUGAAGACAAAGCAAGACUAUGGCACUUGAGGUUGGGGCAUAUGAGUGAAAGGGGAUUGAAGGAGCUUCAAAAGAAUGGGGUGUUUGGAAGUGACAAGCUAAGUUCUUUGGGGUUCUGUGAAGACUGUAUCCUAGGGAAGGCUUCCAAUCUCAAGUUUGAAUCUGCAGUUCAUUCUACCAAAGAGAAGCUUGCAUAUAUACACUCUGAUAUGUGGGGGCCUGCACAGGUAAAUUCUCUUGGUGGCUUUAAGUAUUUCUUAUCCUUAAUAGAUGACUAUUCAAGGAUGGUUUGGGUGUAUGUACUCAAAACCAAAGAUGAAGCUUUGGAAAAGUUUUAGAGGUGGAAAAUUCUGGUAGAAACACAGACAAGUUUGAAAGUAAAAGCUCUAAGAACAGAUAAUGAAUUGGAAUUCUGCAACAAAGAGUUUGGAGACUUUUGUAAAAGACAUGAGAUUAUGAGGCACAAAACAGUCAUACACACACCUCAGCAAAAUGGUUUUGCUGAGAGAAUGAACAGAACCUUAAUGGACAAGGUGAGGUGUAUACUGCUAUACUCAAAGCUGCCUAAGUCACUCUGGGCAGAGGCCUUAAACACAGCAUGUUACUUGGUAAAUAUAAGUCCAUCUACAGCAAUAGAAUGCAAAACACCUAUCGAGCUAUGGUCUGGAAGGGUUGCAGAUUACUUUAAACUGAGAAUCUUUGGAUGUGUUGCUUAUGCAUAUGUCAAACAAGGCAAAUUGGAGCCAAGAGCUUUAAGGUGUAGAUUUCUAGGAUACCCUGAUGGAGUUAAAGGCUAUAGGCUAUGGUGCAUUGAUUUGAAGCCACCAAAAUGCAUUAUCAGCAGGGAUGUAACUUUCAAUGAGUCAGAAAUCUUGAACAAAUCCAAAACCACUUAAUCCAAAGAUCAUAUAUCAGAAACAAGACCUGGGAGUGUUCAGUUUGAGGUGGAGUCCUAUGAACAAGAUAGGACUGAAUCAGAAACUGAAGGAGAUUCAGGAAGGGUUACUGAUGGAUUUGAUGUUGUUCAGGAGUCAGAGCCAGCUGAGAAUGAAGAUAAUUCUUAUCAGUUGGUCAGGGAUAGAAAGAAGAGAGCUGUAAGACCACCUAAGAGGUAUACAAUAGCAGAUUUCAUAGCUUAUACAUUAACAGUUGCACAAGAGGUAAAUGAGGAAGAGCUAAGAACCUAUAAAGAAGCUAUAAACAGCAUGGAUAAGAUGAAAUGGAAGGAGGCUAUGGAUGAGGAAAUUGAAUCACUAAUGAAAAAUGGAACUUGGAAGCUGAUAGUUAGACUAGAAAAAAGGAAGACUGUUAGCUGCAAAUGGAUCUUCAAAGUUAAGGAAGGUAUAUCUGAUGCUGAACCUAGUAGGUUUAAAGCUAGGCUGGUAGCAAGAGGCUUCACACAAAGAGAGGGGAUUGAUUUCCAUGAAAUCUUCUCUCUAGUUGUGAAACAUGCCUCCAUCAGAGUCAUCUUAGCUUUAGUUGCCAUUCAAGACAUGUACCUGGAGCAUAUGGAUGUUAAAACAGCCUUCCUGCAUGGUGAAUUACAAGAAGAAAUUGUAAUGGAACAGCCUGGGGGGUAUGUGGUGUCUAGUAAGGAAAAUCAUGUGUGCUUACUAAAGAAAUAUUUAUAUGGAUUAAAGCAGUCUCCUAGGCAAUGGUACUUGAAGUUUGAUAGUUUUAUGACAAAACAUGCCUACAAGAAAUGCAAUUAUGAUUGUUGCGUGUACUUUAGGGACAUUGGUGAUGGAAAGAUGAUUUAUCUUAUGCUGUAUAUGGAUGACAUGCUUAUAGCAUGUCACAGCAUAGAUGAAAUCAGUCAUUUAAAGAAUCUCUUGAGCAGUGAAUUCGAUAUGAAAGAUCUUGGAGCUGUAAGGAAGAUCUUAGGUAUGGAAAUUAUCAGAGACAGGAGAAGGAAGCUUAUGUUUUUAACCCAACAGAGCUAUGUUAAGAAGGUGUUGCUUAGAUUUGGGAUGCAUGAAUCCAAGUCUGUUCAAACACCUUUGGCAAAUCACUUCAAGCUGUCUGCUGCACAUUGUCCACAAACUGAUGCAGAGCAAGGAAAAAUGGCAAGGAUACCUUACUCCAGUGCAGUUGGGAGCCUCAUGUAUGCCAUGGUUCUCACUAGACAUGAUAUCUCACAUGCUGUGAGUAUAGUGAGUAGAUUCAUGGCAAAUCCAGGUUAUGAGCAUUGGAGGGCAGUCCAGUGGAUAAUGAGGUACCUGAAAGGCACUAUGGAGUUUGGUCUGCUAUAUGGAGGGUUAAAACAGGAAGGGCACAAGCUGGUGGGGUAUGUUGACUCAGACUUCGCUGGAGAUCUUGAUAAAAGGAGGUCUCAGACAUGUUUUAUAUUCACUUUGGGAGGCUGCACUGUGAACUGGAAAGCUACUCUGCAAAGUGUGGUAGCUUUGUCCACAACUGAAGCCGAAUAUACAGCAGCUGCAGAAGCUUUUAAGGAAGUCAUCUGGUUAAAAGGAAUGGUCUCAGAGUUAGGAGCAAAACAAGAAACAGUUGAAGUAUACUGUGAUAGCCAGAGUGCAAUACAUUUGAGUAAAAACCAGACCCAUCAUGAAGGAACAAAACAUAUUGAUGUAAAGCUUCAUUUUGUAAGACUUGAAGUUUCAAAGGGAACUGUGAAGAUGCUCGAGGUUCACACUGAUCAAAAUCCAACCGAUAUGUUGACUAAAGCUGUGCCUUCUGCCAAGCUCAACUUCUGUUUGAGCUUAGCAGGAAUUUGCAGUUUCUGAUCAGCUGCAAAAGAAAGGGAAUAAAGUAUACAGGAGUAGCUAGAGUUCAGAGUUCACACUGAUUAAAAGGUGCAGGCUUUGUCAUCGUCUACACAUGAUUUGGGAAACACAGAGAGUAGAGAAAAAGAUAGAGAGAGAAAGGGGUUAACAAGUUCUUGUUCUCUGUAAAUCGAUUUCUAUUCUUGUAAAGUUUGUGAUCUCAAUUAGUGAAAGAUUGUUGCUUUGUUUCCAGUGGAUGUAGGCACCACUUCUUGGUGCUGAACCACUUAUGCUUGGUGUCAUAUUGUUUCUUUAAUGCUUUGAUUCUUGCGUGUGAUUGUUGCUGGAUAAUCUGUGCUGUUAAUUCUCAAACCAUUGAUACAGAAUUAAUGUCUUGGGGAGAAUUUGGUUAGUCUUAUCAAAGCCGAAUUCACAACAAAAACUGUAAUGGUAUAUCUUGAAUUAUUGGUAGAAUAGUUCUUUGGAGCAAUAAAAACAGAUAAGACAGAUGAGAAAAUUGUCAAUACCCCACCGCAAAAGCAAAAGAAAACAAGGAAAGGAGACAAAAGAGGAAGAAGAAAAAGAAAAAAGAACGAAGAAAAAAAUGGUGCCGUGCGGUAUAGGCAAGAAGAAAAAAUAAUAAAAAAUAAUAAAAUAAUAGUGCACAACAAUCAUUUGAUUGCUAUAAAUAAAAGGCGUUUCCCUCAUUUUAUUCAUCGAAUUCUUCAGUUCCUUUCAAGCGAUUUAAGAGUCUAGUGAUUUGAGAGUUUGGGUGUAGUAUGAUUUUGGGUAGUGAGCUAAAAUACUACAAUACUUGUAACUCAUUUUUAUUAGUAAAAUAUUUUCCUUCUGACUUCGCCCGUGGACGUAUGCUAAAAGCCGAAUCACGUAAUUUCUGGUGUCCCUAUGUGAUUAUGUGUCUCAUUAUUUCUUAAUUUCACUUUAGUUGCGUGUCUGCGACACCCCUCAAUUUAUUAACAAAAAAUGGCCAAAAUUAUAUAAGUGACCCAAAUUUUUUUGUUAUUUCCAAGAAAUCCCCAAUCUGAAUGGGCUAGACCAGAGGGAGGCAAGUUAGAAAUACAUUUCCUUCAUAGACAAUAACAGUGAUGAGUCGAUGACAUCAAGCCACGUCGGUAUCAAUAUUGAAUUAAAGGUGCAAUUAUUCAGCCAAUGAACCUUACACAUCAAGAUAAAAGUCAAGAAAAUGAAAAUUUAUCCCAAUUAAAACACUUUCUGGCUGCAUUUAGUUGUUUCCAUUAGAAGUUAAAAACAACGUUUCUUUCGUUUUGUGGGCAACUCAACUGAGUUAGCUGGCUUCUAGUGCUAGUAUGUGAAAAUAGAAGGCUAAUGAUUUAUUUAUUAUCUUUUGACAAAAUUAUUAAAGAUAUAAUAGAUUUUCUAUGAUACAAGUGAAAAAUCACAUCAACAUAGCUUUCAAUCUACAGCAGCUAGCGUUUACCAAACACUUUGUUGUAGCUUUUAAGCUAUAGCUGCCCAACCUCAAUCUCAAACGCACCCUUAAUAGGUUGAUUGAAUUUGUGAGAUAUGGAUUCCACAUAUCUCAUGACCUAGUAAUUAUACAAGUGGUUCGUGAUCAAGACACAACAUUUGCUUCCGGCCUAGUGACCCAGCAAUCGCUGCACUGGUCGCCACCUAUGGUGCCGACGAUAUUGCAUGGUCCAAUUGUGGCCUUGAAUGGAAAAAGUUGAGCAAAUUAUUUGUGGACACGAUGAUAAGUAACGCAAGCCUUGAUGCUAGUUAUGGUCAAAGAAAACAAGAGGUUAAGAAUACUAUCAGAGAUAUUCAUAACAACAAAAAGGAAAAAAAAAAGGCAUUUGCAAGCCCAUUGAUAUUGGUGAAUUGUCGAUUUCAACUUUGGCAUGUGUAAUCCAGAACCUGCGCGCUGUGGUAUGGCGCUGGCACGCUUGCAUUAACGAGGGGACAAGUCUUGGGGCUGAGCUAACAUUUAAGCUCGCAGAACUCAUGGUGCUAAUGGGAACACCAAAUAUUUUUUUGACAUAUUUUGGUGCUUUCAUGGUUUAAUUCAAGGUAUAGAAAGGAGUGUUGAGAAUGUCAAAUAAAACGGCAUUGAAUGGAAGUUGUCAAAGACACGAUCCGCACCGAACGGCAACGACACGGUUGCUAAAAAUCCUUCCAUAAUAUGCAUAUCUAAUUUUUUAAAAAGUGUAACCUCUGCAUUUAUAAAUAUACUCAAUGUAUAAUGUUUUACUUAAGAAAUGAAAAACUUGUUUGUUCAAGGAGAAUAAAGAAAAUUUUUCUAUGAUUUUUUUAUGGUUUGAACAAAGAAGGUUUUAAUGAGUAUUAUAGACCUCGAUUGAAUGUUCGAAUGUAUAAUAAAAGAGAAACUGUCACAUAAAUGACAAAGAUACUUGGAAAAAAAAAAAGGGCAGCAAUAGAGAAUUAGAUUCGACUGCACAAAUAACUAGUUAAUUCAUCAAUACAUCAUUUUCUUGCUAGAAAAUGACAAUUAUGACAGCAAGCCACGAUAGUGUCAAUAUUGAAAUUGAUUUGCAAUUAUUCAGCCAAUGUGCCUUACACGUCAAGAUAAAAGUCAAGAAAAUGAAAGUUAAUAUCAAUUAAAACACUUCCUGGGCCGCAUUUAGCUCCAGUUUUUGUGGUAGGAAAACAAAGUUUUGUUUUAAAUUCACAUGGUGUGCACUUCCUAUAUAAAUCUAGAGUUGUGUCCCACGUUGAACAAUAAAGGAAAGUCACCUAAAUAUACAUGUAGGAUAAGUUACUUUAUUUAGUAAGUUUGUAUUUUCUUCUUUCUUCUAGUUUACAUAUAAAUUUGAUUAGAUAACUUAACACAUAUUUUAAUACUUGAUCAGAAGCCCUACGUACAGGUGGAUCUAGAAACUUGAUUUCUAAGAGUAAUACUAUAAUAAAAAAAUAAUGAUUCAUAGAACCAAUAUCAAAAUUUGUUUACAAGAUUACCCCCACUCAAAGGUAAUUUUCAUAGAAAUUAAUAGGAAAUUUAAUUGUUAGUGGGGUCAAAUUGCCCCCACACUCUGAAUGUAGAUCCACGCCCGACCCUGAGUCAAGUAUAUUUUGCCACAUAUACUCUGAAUGUCGGCAGGAAAAAUCUUCCACUUUAGUUUAAAAUUUUCACUUAAAAUUUAUUUACGUUAAUAAAGUUGGUAAAGGAAAUGAGUUUAAUUAAAGAAUAUUAUAGGAGAAAUUCUAUUGUUUGGCUUUUAAUAAAUUAAUUAAUAGGUUUAAAAAGAUUAAUAUACAUCAAAAUAUUAUUAGUUGGUGGUGGUUCCACAUCGGACUAAGACGUGGCACCUUACUUGUGAGAUUAAGACAAUCAGGCUUAGACUAUUUAAAUAUGUUUGAAGCUUAGAUGGCACCGCUUCAAUUUGCAUUAAUGAAUGUCAUUCUUUACCCUAAUUACUACGUAAUUGAUAACAUGCAAUUGAAAUAACUAAUAUUAGCACUUGGCUAUAAAUGAACUAAAGGCCGUGCAAUUGAAUCUUUACUUGAUCACUUCAUUCCUUUAUUUUGCUAACACAGAUUUUGAGAUAUUAAAACGAAAUAAUAAUUGAAUCUGGCUUUGUGGGUCGAUGAUGCCAGCAACAACGAGACCACAAUUAUCACUUGUUUAUUUGCUGUAUUUGACGUUGUUUCAUAUUGGUAGUAAUAACUAAUAAGGUCGUUGUAGAGUUUUUAAUCUUUUUUUUUAUAUUAAUCACGAGGUAUCCUGGGGAGGGCCCCAACUGUGGGAGGCACCUUUAAGCUCGUACCACAACCCAGACUAGAAGUCCCCGCUCGAACCGGGAGGCACAGUUUUUAAUCUUUUUUAUAUUAAAGUUAAGUCAAUUUGUUAUAAAUAAAUAAAAAAUUGGUUGAGUUUAAUUAUAUUGCUAUGUACAUUAAAUAAUUAUAAUAUUCUCGAGGGAAAAAGACACCUAGAACCUCAAGGUUUGGGGAAAUGGUCACAAAAACUCCUAAGUUUUAAAAAAGGAACACUAAAAUCUUUUUUUACCCAUAAUACCCUUUGACUAUAGUAAUUAGAAAAUUGACUUUAAAGGUUUUUAAAUAAUACAAAUUUAAUAUAAAUCAUAUAAUCUAUCUAGUACACUAAUAAUAUUAAAUUAUUUUUUAUAUUUAAAAUAAUGUUAAAAAAUUUAAAUUAUUAUAUUUAUUUUAAUAAUAUAUUUAUAAAAUUAUAAAGAUUUUAAAUAAAUCUUUGGAUUGAAUAUAUUUUACAAUUAAAAGUCUUCCUAUUAAUAAUAUUAAAAUUAAAUUUUAAGUAAUAUAUAUUCAAAAUAUUUUUAAUUUAAUUUUAUUUAUUUUAAUAUUAUGUUUCUAUCUAUUAUUAAAAAUUACUUUAAUAUAAUAAAAUAGGUCUAAUAGAUUGAAAAAUAUGAAAAUAUUUUUAAAAUUUUAAAUUAUUUUGAAAUGUAUAUAUUAUUACAUUUAUUUCAAUGUCAUAUUUCCAUUUAUUAUAAAAUUUUGGGGUUAUUUUUUUGGGAAUUUAUAGAGUCAAAGAGCAUUAUGGUUAAAAAAGAGUCUUGGUGUCCCUUAUUGAAAACUUUAGAGUUUUUGUGACCAUUUUCCUAAAUCUUGGGGGUGUUGAAGUGGCACUUAUUGUAAGAUUGAUUUUAAAAUAUGUAAAAUUAAUUUUAUUACAUUACCAUAUGCUACAUCACCUGAAACUUAAUAAAUGGAACGUAGCAUUACUCCACGUUCACCGUUAUGACCUUAUGACAUUAGAAUUAAAAUCUUUCGUACGUUUAAAUUGUUUACUUCCAAAUUAAUCUUUCGUAAAUAUUUUGUACAGAUCUUAUCGGAGUUAGCGUGUUCAUUACAGUGUUUCUUUUCUUUUAUCCUUUCUUUUGAAACGUAUUUCCUGUGGACAAGGAAAGCAAAUAAUACCCUGCCACCAGGACCUCGCGGCUUGCCUGUAAUCGGAUACCUUCCAUUUCUCGGAAUUACUGACUUACACAAGACAUUCACGGAAUUAGCUGGUCUAUAUGGCCCGAUCUUCAAACUCUGGCUUGGCAACAAAUUGUGUGUAGUGGUUAGCUCGCCUUCAACUAGUUCUAUAAGAAUAUCCCUUUUAAGGGAUUCUCUCUCUGCAAAAUUUUUUUAUCUUCUGGUGCAUAAUAAAAACUUAUGCCACUUCAUUAACCACAGAUAUCUUUUGAGGAAACGAUGUUUCGUUUUCUUUUGUUUUUUCCUUCCUAAUCCUCGCAUAUCGUGUGAAGGCUAAUAUAUCCAAGAAUCUAAAUCUCUGUAAAUCUUUUUCUAUCCAAAUCUACAUAAUAAUUUAAUCCAUGCACAAUAUCUAUAAUUAUAUCGGCUGUCGGCUGAUUUCGUGGAGGGGGCGGCAGUUCAAAUUUUUUACGUGCAUGUUGGAUGGACGUCUCUAUUAAAGGAGAGCCACCACUUGCAUGGUAAUUUUUUUAAAUAAAUAUAUACAUUUCAAAAUAUUAUUUCAUUGUUGUAUAGUUAACAUGUCACCUUAGAUGUAUUUUAGAACUUCUCCUAUUAAAGAUAAUCUCAUGCAGUGAUACUUCUCGUGAUCUAAUCAUUAGUAGAAUCUAUAAUUUCGCUACUGUAAUAAAAUCUGUCCCUACCCUAUAUGAAUGUAGAUAUUUGACGCGAUUUGUAAUUGCUUCCGACAGGAAAACAGCAAUAGUUUAAUUGAAAUUUGUGGUAUGGAUUCCACGAAUCUUAUGACAGAAUACUGACCACUCCAACCCUAUCCACAUUUACACGAUUAAAACACAAGCUUAGAUGUGACAAUGCAUUUGUCACUUUUGUUCAAAUUCAUCCUGAAACACUAUACACUAAAUAAUCGAAUAUGGCUUCGUGGGUCGAUGAUGCUAGCAGCAACGAGACUGCAAUUAUCACUUGUUUUGUUGCUGUACUUGUCGUGGUCUAUUUCGCAUGGAAUGUAAACAAAUCAAGUAAAGCAAAUGCUAAAUUGCCACCAGGAUCUCGGGGCUUGCCAGUAGUCGGAUACCUCCCAUUUCUUGGAACUACUGACUUACACAAGACAUUCACGGAGUUAGCUGGAGUUUAUGGUCCGAUCUUCAAGAUUUGGCUUGGGAAUAAAUUGUGUGUAGUGGUGAGCUCGCCUACCCUAGUUAAACAAGUGGUCCGUGAUCAAGAUAUAACAUUCUCAAACCGCGACCCACCGAUCGCUGGAACUGUGACCACCUACGGUGGCAAUGAUAUUGCACUUUCCAAUUAUGGUCCCGAAUGGAAAAAGUUGCGAAAAUUAUUUGUGAGCAAGAUGAUGAGUAAUGCAACCCUUGAUGCUUGUUAUGCUCUAAGAAAACAAGAGGUUAAAAAUACUAUCAGGGAUUUGUACAACAACAAUAAGGAUAAUAUUGGCAGUGGCAAUGGCAAGCCCAUUGACGUUGGUGAAUUGUCGAUUUCAACUUUGGUACGUGUUAUGCAGAACAUGCUGUGGGGUCAAGCAUUGGAAACAAGAGAGAAAGAGAUUACUAAUCUCGGGGCUAAUCUUGCAGAACUCAUGGUGCUACUGGGAACACCAAAUAUUUCGGAUAUUUUUCCAGUGCUUUCAUUGCUUGACAUGCAAGGUAUAGAGAGAAGAGCUAAGAAGAUUUCUCUAUGGUUUGAAAACAUUAUCAAUUCUGGUGUUGAACAGUAUAGAAACAAGUUUUCUGUUGUUAAAGGUGAAGAAGCUGCAGCAGGAAAAAAUAUUGAACGAUCAAGAAAUAAGGACUUCUUGCAGUUACUGUUGGAGCUUCAGGAAAAUGAAGAUAGUGCUUCAUCUAUUAGCAUGAACCAACUAAAGGCCGUGCUCGUGGUAUGUUAAGCAACUAGACACAAAAAGUUGUAAAAGCACAGUGAUAUAUUUGCGCGAGGCCGCGAGUGAUGUUUUGCCUCGAGAACUCUCAAUUUUAUCUUACGGUAAAAAAUGUUUUUCAACUUUUUUUAAUUAGAAUUUUAUUGCAAUUUAUUUAACAGGACAUAAUUGUGGCCGGAACCGACACCACAACUACGAUGGUGGAAUGGACAAUGGCAGAGUUGAUGCAACAUCCACAAGUAAUGAAGAAAGUUCAAGAAGAAUUAGCUCAAGUUGUGGGCAUGGACAGUUGUGUUGAAGAAUAUCACUUGCCUAAAUUAAAUUAUUUAGAUGCUGUGGUGAAAGAAACAUUUCGUUUGCAUCCUGCGUUGCCCUUAUUGGUACCUCGCACGGCAAGCGAGAACAGCAAUAUUGGUGGCUAUACCAUUCCCAACGACACUAAUUUUAUGUUGAAUGUUUGGGCUAUUCACAGGGAUCCUCAACUUUGGGAUAAUCCCUUAGAUUUUCGACCUGAGAGGUUCUUGAAUGAUGAUAUCAUAAGCAAAUUCAAUUACUCGGGUAACAAUUUUCAGUACUUGCCAUUUGGUUCUGGUAGAAGGAUGUGCGCUGGCAUUCCUCUAGCUGAGAGGAUGUUGAUGCUUGUUCUGGCUUCGUUGUUGCACUUGUUUGAGUGGAAAUUGCCCCCGGGCACAAAGCUAGACUUAGCUGAAAAGUAUGGGAUUGUCAUGCGGAAAAAAGAGCCUCUGAUUGCUAUUCCAACACCAAGGCUACCAAAUUCAGAUCUCUACCAGUAAGAUCAAAAUGGUUGUGAUGAUAUUAUUUCCCAUUGUAUUGGAAUAUUUUUGUGUGAUUUGAAGUUCAAUCAUAAUAAAAUAUUUUAAUAAAAUGUCCUCGGUUGCUAAUUUUUCAAUAGUAUACUCUAUCAUCGUUUCUAACUGUCUUUUAGAGCCAUUUGGUCUAAUUUAUUUUUGAAUUAAAAUCCAUAAAUAUUUAAAUUUUUGAAUCAUAUUAAGAAUUAUCUGGAGUGUAUGGUCUGAUCUUCAAGUUCUGGCUUGUAAACAAAUUAGAGUUCUGAUAUUUGCCCCGGGUCAAACCCCGAAAUUAAAUAAAACGGCGUCGUUUUGUUUUUUUUUUUUUUUUUUUCUUUUUUACUUCUUCCAAACGUUGCCAUUUCACUUGUCAUUUGCAAGUGACUCCAUUGAUCCUUAGUUGAAACAGAGUUACACCGUAAAUCUCUUCCUCUUCGUUUCUUCGUUUCACCAGGGAACGAGACAGAUAAAAUCCAGCCAUUCUUCGACAUAACAAGAUAUCGAUUAGAAUCCAACGACAUAACUAUAAACCAUGACAUUGCGCUUGAUUUUGCGAAAUACCGAUUAAGAACCAGUAACUUUGAAUCCAAUGACCGUUAAGAGUUUGAAAUUGGUUUCAAAUGACUAAUGAGUUAUCAGAUUUCUUUGCGUCUACAUUUUCCUUGAAGGUUUCUCAGCAGCCAAACAAAUACAAAGCAAAUUGCAGAAGAAACACAUUUUGUUCCAAUGAAAAAUGUACGGAAACAUUUUAAAUAUGGAAAAUUACCUCAAAAUGAAGGCUCGCAAGAGAUUCGAGCAACAAAUUAGAUCAAAGGAACCGGCGCUGAGCAAGAAAGUGAGCUCAAAGAUUCCGAAACACAAACGUAAAUUCACAAAAAUGCAAAUCUAUGAUGAACGCCAAGAUCAAAAUUUUCGAAGAAAGGGAGCUGAAAAAAUAAAUGAAACGUCAAACUAGAUGACAAUGGAUUUGCUUCUUCAAAGGAGACAAUGAAAUUGUUACUAGAGACAGCUAGAGAAAUAGAGAGAGAGAGAGAGAGAGCUUGAAUUGGCUGUACCCCCACCAGAAAGUGGGUAGUGCCUUUUCCACUUGGACUUGAUAUGCGAAUCUGAAAAAAUCUGAACGAAGGACUGACUCAUCCCAGCUCGAAAGCAAACCAAGCUAGGACUGACUGAAAACGUUGCCGUUUGGAGAAGUUAAAAAAAAAAACUAAACAAAACGACGCCGUUUUGUUUAGUUUCGGGGUUUGACCCGGAAUUUGACCCGGGGCAAACAUCAUUUUCCAACAAAUUAUGCAUGGUCGUGUACACGCUUUCCCUAAUUAAGCAUGAGGUUCGUGAUCAAGGCACAACAUUCACUCCCUGCGACCCAACAAUCGCUACAUUGUUUGCCACCUAUAGUGCCAACGAUUUUGCACGGUCCAAUUAUGGUCCCCAAUCGAAAACGUUGCGCAAAUGUUUUCUGGGCAAGAUGAUAAGUAACGCAAGCCUUGAUGCUUGUUAUGGUCUAAGAAAACAAGAGGUUAAUAUAUAUAUAUAUAUAUAUAUAUAUAUAUAUAUAUAUAUAUAUAAAUUGGCAUUGUCAACUUUUGUAUGUUUUAUUCAGAACCCGCUGUGGGUUGACGCUAGCAUGCUUGCGUUAGGAGACGAGGGGACCAAUCUUGGGGCUGAGCUAAAAUAUAAGCUUGUAGAGAUCAUCUUGCUAAUGGUAAUGUUUUCCGAUGCUGGUUUAAUUCAUGGUAUAAAAAGGAGAACAAAAAAGAUUUUUCUAUGCUUUGAAAAUAUUAUAAUUUUUAUUUUAUAAUUUUUAAUAAAAUCUCUCAUUGAUAGCCAAACAAUUAAAAUUUUUGUAAAGCUUUUGUGGACUUUUGAUCGCGUAUGGUGCCAAUGUAUUGCGUGGUCCUAUUAUGGUUCCAAAUGGAGAAAGUUGCACAAGUUUUUUGAGUACCAGAAGAUCAGUAAUGUAAGCCUUGAUGGUUGUUAUGGUCUAAGAAAACAAGAGGCUAAAAAUUCUAUCUGGGAUUUUUAUAACAACAACAAAAUUGGCAAGCCCAUUGACAUUGGUGAAUUGUCAGUUUCAACCUUGGUAAGUGCGAUUCAGAACAUGCUGUGGGGUGAAACGCUUGAAAUAACAAAGAAAUGGAUUUACUAAUAUUGGGGCUGGGCUAAGAUUUAAGCUUGCAGAACUCACGGUGCUAGAGGGAACACCGAAUAUUUUGGAUAUCUUUCCAGUGCUUUCAUGGUUUAAUAUACAAGGUUUUCAGAGAAUAGCAAAGAAGAUUUCUCUAUGGUUUUAAAAUAUUAUCAAUUCUACUGCUGAACGCUAUAGAAACAACGUCUCUAUUGUCAAAAGUGAAGAAGCAGCAGCAGCAGGGAACAAUAUUGAAGGAAGGAAUAAGGACUUGGUGCAGUUACGCUUGGAGCUUCAAGGUAAAGAAGACAAUGCUUCAUCAAUUAGCAGGACGCAAUUUAAGAGCUUGCUCGUGGUAUGUUGCGCAACUAGCCACAGACAGUUACAGAAACUGAGUUUGGCAGAUUACGACCGUUUCUGGUGAUUACAUAAUUAUUUGUGGCUGUUUUUUUUUUUUAAUUGUAAUUUUCUUAACAGGAUAUAAUUUAGGGUGGAACCAACACCACAACUAUAAUGGUGGAAUGGACAAUGGCAUAAUUGAUACAGCAUCCACAAGUAAUAGAGAAUGUACAGGUAGAACUAAAUCGGGCCGUGGCCAUCGACAGCCAUGUUGAAGAAUUUCACCUAGCUAAGUUAAAAUAUUUAGAUGCUGUGGUGAAAGAAACAUUCUGCACUGUAAUAUAAUACAUGAAUCAUAUGUCCUCUAUUGUUUUUUUAUUUUUCUCUUUUUUUCAAUAGCUUAAUCUAUCAUUAAAAUCUUCUGAAAUUCUAAAUUAAUAUACAUUCAACCUAGAGUUCAAGCCAAAGUUUUAUUGAGCAUUAAAAAAAAAAAAAAUUCUACGACUCAAAAUUUUGUGGAGUAUAAAUUAAAAAUUAUGCGCCUACUAAGAGACAAAAAAUAAAUGAUACACAUUAACCAAUCAAAGGCGAACAAGAGAUUAUUAACAAUAACCUAAUAAUAAAAUUAUAAUGAAUAAAAAAGAAAUGGUACCUAGAAACACAUCACAGCCAUUUAAGCAAUCACUUACCCACAAAAUCCAAACAUAUAAACUAUGUGGGGGGGGGGGGGGGGGGGGGGGGUGUCAUGAUACCUUUGGGUUUCAUGAUAAUCAAAAUUGCAAUACCAUUAAAGACUCAAAAAUAAAAAAAAUCAUAGCCAAUAAAAGAGAAAAAAUAACCCACAAAAAAUCAUCAAGAAAAUAAAUUUGAGACUAAGAGAAGAUAUUAAUUAAACCCUGGGUUGCCUUGGAACCACGGCUUUGGCUUCCAUUUUUCAAUUCUUGGCGACAAGUCAUUUCUUGUUUGUUUACAAAGAUGACGGCUGAUUAAUGAAGCUCUAUUAACAAUGAAUAAAUAAAAAAACUGGCGCCUUGAAAAGACUAACGGUCAUAUUUUUCAACUCCGAAUUAGUGCCGUUUGAUGAGUCCUUGCCAAAACAAUCACUAGGCAAAUAACAAUCAUUUUUCAACCAGCAAAACUCAUUCAUUGUAUUUCACCUUAGUCAAGAUUUAAAAAUUGUUUCAAAAUAAACCUAGUGGUUAGAACCCAAGCGUCACAAUUGUGAGGUCAUGGGUUUGAGCCCCCACAACGUAUUGUGGGGGUUAAUUUUCUUCUUCAAUUUGAGUGAAAACAGUUCUCUCCCUUUCGAAAUGUGGGUGGAGUGGACGUCCCUCAAAUAUUAGAGAGGGUUCAAAUUUGGAUUGUACUAUAUAAGAUUUAUAAAUUAGUCCCAGUAAUUAUCUGAUUGUAAAUAUCAAUAUACUAAUCUAAUUAAAUAUGAGUUGUAAUAUGAGCGUUAGUCUCAUGUAAUUAAAAAAAAAAUGUUUCAAAAUAGGAUUCUUAAAAGGUUGGGGAAAUGGCCAUCAAUAUCCCCAACUUUCCAAAAAGAGACACCAAGACCCAUUUUGACCAUAAUACCCUUUACUUCUAUUAUCCCCAAAAAAUUGACUCUAAUGUUUUAUAAUAAAUAAAAAUAUAACAUUAAAAUAAAUGUAAUAGUAUAUACAUUUUAAAAUAGUUUCAAUAUCUAAAAACCAUUUUAAUAUUUUAAAUCCUAUUAUAUAUAUAUUAAAGUAAAUUUUAUAAUAAAUAGAAUCAUAAUAUUGAAAUAAAUGCAUUAAAAUUUAAAUUAUUUUUAAUAUUAUGUAAAAUAAUAAUUUUAUCAUUAUAAGUAUAUGAGAAUUUUUUUAAUUGUAGAAUGUAUUUAAUGCAAAUAUUUAUUUAAAAUCUCUACAAUAAAUAAAAAUAUACUAUUAAAACAAAUCUCUACAAUAUAUACAUACAUACAUAUACAUUGGCCUGGUAUUUUAUUUUUCAUUUUUUAAACUUAUUAAAUCCUCUAACUAUCAUUUGAUUAUUUUUUUCAAUGAUGAAGAGGCCAUUGCCGGAUAAAUUAUUAAAAUCAACUAGUUCUACAAGAAUGUCCCUUUUUAAAGGAAGAUGAUUCUCUCUCUCGAAAUUUUUUAUCUUGUGCUACAAACUAAAAACUUAUGCCAUUUCAUUAACCACAGAGAUCUUUGAGGAAAUGAUGCUUCGCCCCCCCCCCCCCCCCCCCCCCCCCCCCCCCCCCCCCGCGGCGCCAAAAAGUGUCCUUCCAUAUUUUGUGAAGGCUAAUACAUCGAUGAAUCUAGAUUUCUUUAAAUUUUUUGUUUUACUCAAUUCGAGAUAAUAAAUAGUUUAUCUUUAUUAAAUCUUUACUUUAACAAUGAUAGAUAUUCAAUCCAUGCAAAUAUCUAUCAUUGUAUGAGCUGAUUGCGUGGAGGGAGCGGUAAUUGAAAUCUAAUUGAAAACAGCAGAAGGCUGUUCUUGACAGAUCUCAAAUAUAUUACGGACACGUUGGGAGACAUCUCUAUCAUAGAUAUCCCCAUGCAGUGAUAUUUGUCGUGAUCUAAUUUUUAGUAAAUCUGUAAGAGAGAUUGUAACAUCUUUCAAGUUUUUUGGUUUGAUAUUCUAGACGAAAACGGUUUGUCGUUUCUUGAGCAAACGGCUAACCGUUUAAGUCCAGAGAGCAUGUUUGUUGUUCUGGAUAAAACGGCUCACCGUUGUUGCGAAAACGGCUAACCGUUUAACUCAAGAGAGCAUGUUUUAUGUUCUAGAGAAAACGGCUCACCGUUAUUGAGAAAACGGCUAACCGUUUAUUUACAGAGAGCAACGUAUUUGAUAUUCUGGAAUAAAAUGGCUCACCAUUUAUUGAGAAAACGGCUAACUGUUUAUUUCCAGAAAGGCGUCAAUUAGAAAAACGGUUAGCAAGAAUGAAAAUUUCAAUUGACAAUCGAUGCAAAUUCAAACCAAAAGAGUGUCUUCGAAAAAGUACCAUUUCUAAUGGUUGUAUUCUUUCAAAUAAACAUCUUCUUCAUUAAAGAAAUACACACAAUUAGAUUGAUAAUCAGAUUUUGACAGGUUUCUUAUAUGUUCUGGAAAUACAAUCUUAUUUGCUAGAGAUUGUAUUCAGGAUUUGUUAUAUCUUGGGGGUAAUUUGCCAUUAAAACUAUAUAGCAAACCAAGAUUGGUGAGGGCAAAUAAAACCUUAAAGGAAAGUAUGCAAACACGUCUCAAAUCCUAUGAAACUUUCUUUGUUCUUUGCCUCCAUAUUCUUAUUAUUCACUAACAAAAUCCCCAUGCAGUGAUAUUUGUCGUGAUCUAAUUAUUAGAAAAAUCUAUGAUUUCGCUACUGUAAUAAAAUUUGUCACUACUCUACAUUAAUCUAAAUGUCUGAUGAGAUUUGUAAUUGCUUCCGACGGGAAAACAGUUAAUAGGUUGAUUGAAUGUAUGUGGUAAAGAUUCCACGUAUCUCACGACAGAAUGCUGACCACUGGAACCCUAUCUACUUUUACGCGAUUAAUUCACGAGCUUAGGCACGACAAUUGCAAUACAAAUUAUCCCUUCAUCAUAUAUUUCGUUAAAAUUCAUUCUGAAGCACUAAAACUAAACAAUCGAAUAUGGCUUUGAGGGUCGAUGAUGCCAGCAGCAAUGAGAGUGCAAUUAUCACUUGUUUAGUUUCUGUGCUUGCCGUGGCUUAUUUAGCAUGGAAUGUGAAAAAAUCAAGGAAAGCAAAUGCUAAACUGCCACCAGGACCUCGCGGCUUGCCUGUAGUCGGAUACCUCCCAUUUCUCGGGACUACUGACUUGCACAAGAAAUUCACGGAAUUUAUUUUACUAUUAUAUUUAUAUUCAAAAUAAUUUUAAUUAGCUUUUAAAAUGAAUGAUUUUAGGAAAUUAUAAAUAAAGGUAACUAAGAAUUCUCUUAAUGUAAUAUAUUAUUAAUUAGUUUAAAAAUACAAAUUUAUUAAUUAGAGAAAUUAUUAGUGAAUUUAAAUUAAUGAUCUUAAUGAUUUGUUUGUACGAUUGCCCCCAAUCAAAGGUAAUUUUCCUAAAAAUUAUUAGGAAAUUAGAGAAAUUUAAUUUUUUUAGUGGGUUCAAUUGCCCACACACCCCGACUGAAGCAUUUUUUACAAUAUGUACUCCGUUUGUCGGCAGGAAAAUAAAGGUCUUGACACAUGAUCACUUCACUCCUUUAUUUACUUUGCUAACGCAGAUUUUGAGGUAUUAAAACAAAUAAUAAUUGAAUAUGACUUUGUGGGUCGACGACGCCAGCAACGAGGAGACCGCCAAUUAUCACAUUUUAAGUUUGCUGUAAUUGCCGUUGUUUUAUAUUAGUAGAAUAUUAGUGAUAAGAUAAUUGUAGAGUUUUCAUUUUUUUAAUAUUAAAAUCAAGUCAAUUUAUUAUAAUAAAUUUAGUUGAAUUUAAUCGUAUUACCACAUAAAUUGAAUAAUAAUAGAAUUCUCGACAAUAUUUCAAUAUUUUAAUCUCAAGCAUUGGAGUGGCAUUUAUUUGUUAUACGGUCGAUUUUAGAAUUUAUAAAAUUAUUCGUUGCUGAAUUGCACCAUAUGCUGCAUAACCUGAAACUUAAUAAACGGAACGUAGCGUUGGCACCGUUACUCAACAUUCACUGUUACGACUUUGUGACAUUAGAAUUAAAAUCUUUUCCACAUUUAAUUUGUUUACUUCCAACUUAAUAUUUAACAAAAUGUAUGUUAGCAUUGUAUGCCAUAUCAUCUGUAAUUUUGUCAGGAUCGAUCAUUCUAAUUUUUAAGCAGAACUUUUUGUCAAUGGACAAACACCUCAUACAGCUUGUCAGAGGCAUUAGUAUGAUGUAAAAUUGUAAUGGUAUAUCUUGAAUUAUUUUAGAAUAGUGAAUAACUAUUUGGAGCAAUAAAAACAAAUAAGACAGAUGAGAAAAUGGCUAAAAUUAUAUAAGUGACCCAAAAUUUUUUGCUAUUUCCAAGAAAUCCCCAAUCUGAAUGGACCAGAGGGAGGCAAGUUAGAAAUACAUUUCCUUCAUAGACAAUAACAACGAUGAGUGGAUGACAUCAAACCACGUUGGUAUCAAUAUUGAAAUAAAGGUGCAAUUAUUCAGCCAAUGAGCCUUAGUACACAUCAAGAUAUAUAAAAGUCAAGAAAAUGAAAAUUUAUCCCAAUUAAAACUCUUUCUGGCUGCAUUUAGCUGUUUCUGUUUAGGGAUGGCAAUUUAAUCCGGACCCAGCCCGACCCGGAUGAAUCCAGAAAAUUCGGGGUGGAUUCAACCCGUACCGGAGUGAAUAAAAUCUGAUAUUCAAAUUCAAUAUUUUCAACCCGGACGUUUCCGAGUCCGGAUCCGGAUUUGGGUAAACCCGCAUAUCCGGAACCCGGAUCCGGAUAACUAUUUUAAUAUUAAUUUUUAAAUCAUUUUAAAAUAAAAAAAAAUUAGAAAAAAUCAGCCCUAAUGCCCUUCCACAGCCACGGCAGCCAAACCAAACCCAGACAUUUCCUCUCUCUCUCUUUAGCCCUUCUUUUCAACAAAUCAUCAUCGUUGCUCAUCAUCGUUUCGUCGUGUUCAUCUUCAUCUUCAUCAUCAGCUGCCGUUUGUCCAGCUAUGUCACUAGUUUUGGCCGCCGUUUCCGUUUGUGCACCUUCGCAAAUCGGGAUCUCGAUUUGGCCGCCAACACUUCUACCCCCUGGUGUUUUGCUUUGUCCUCGACAACUUCUUUGUUGAUAAAUUGACGGGCACUUAUGAAUGCAUUUGUCUCUGUUUCUUCAUUUACACCUUCCCAGUUGUUUGUUCAUUUGCUUUUUGGAAGGAAAAAAAAAAAAAAUCAGCCACCAUUUAUCCUUCCCCUUUUCUUGACCUAACCCCACAAAGCCCAAUUUGUCAUCAUCAUUCAUUGGCAAAUUUGUUAUCAUCAUGGUUGAGACAUCAUGAUUAUCUUUGAUAAUUGAAUUUGUGUAAUAUGUUACCUUGGAUUUUAUUUCUAAGUAUUUGAUUUUGAAUUAUUUUCCAUUAUUGGUGUUAAUAGAUAGAAGAUUAGAAAGGAAUUCUUCACUGAAUAAAGAGAUGGGAAAUUGCAUCUUUUAGCAAUCAUCCGGGUUAUAAACCCGGAAUCCGGAAACCAGGAUUUUUCCGGGUUUAACCCAGUCCGGACCCGAAUGAAAAAUAUCCGGGUUUACAUCCGGGUCUGGUAUUAAAAUUUAUCGUCCGGAUCCGGAACAGGGAAGACAAAACCCGGACCCGAACCCACAUUUUGCCAUCCCUAUUUCCAUUUGAAGUUAACAACAACGUUUCUUUCGUUUUGUGGGCGACUUGACUGAGCCAGCUGGAUUCUAGUGCUAGUAUGUGAAAAUAGAAGGCUAAUGAUUUCACGUUCACUAGCCCACCUCCCCUCCUCUCGUUUCCUCUGAAUCAAUUUUCACGUGUGGUACCGAUUGAAAAUAUCUCUGACAUUUCGUGGACAUCUCUAUUGAAAAUAUCUCAGACAUUUCACUCAGGCAAACUUAUUAAUAUAAAAAAUCUAUGAUUUUUUCGUCUUAUACUGUAGAAAAAUUUGUCUAUACAUUAAUCUAGAUGUUUGAGGUGGUUUAUACAUCUGUGGUAUAGAUUUAUAGGUUGAUUGAUACGUCUGUGGUAUAGAUUUUAUGUAUUUCAUUAUCAAAUGCUGGCCUUUGGGACCCUAUCUACAUCUAUUUAUAAAACUAACGGGUGCCAGUUAUGCCAUUACAAAUUAUCCCCUCUUCAUACAUUUCCUUAAAAUUCUUCUGAAACACCAAAACUAAAUAAUCGAAUAUGGCUUUGCGGGUCGAUGAUGCCAGCAACAAUGAGGCUGCAAUUAUCACUUGUUUAGUUUCUAUGCUUGCCGUGGUUUAUUUCGUAUGGAAUGUGAACAAAUCAAGGAAAGCAAAUGCUAAACUGCCACCAGGACCUCGCGGUUUGCCUGUAGUCGGAUACCUCCCAUUUCUCGGAACUACUGACUUGCACAAGAAAUUCACGGAAUUAUCCGGAGUUUAUGGUCCGAUCUUCAAGCUCUGGCUCGGAAAUAAAUUAAGUGUCGUGGUGAGCUCACCUUCCCUAGUUAAACAAGUGGUUCGUGAUCAAGAUACAACAUUCGCAGACCGUGACCCGCCGAUCUCAGGACUAGUGACCUCCUUUGGUGGCAAUGAUAUUACAUGGUCCAAUUACGGUCCCGAAUGGAGAAAGUUGCGCAAAUUUUUUGUGGGCAAGAUGAUGAGUAACGCAAGCCUUGAUGCUUGUUAUGCUUUAAGAAAACAUGAGGUUAAAAAUACUAUCAGGGAUUUGUAUAACAACGGCAACAAAAUUGGUAAGCCCAUUGACAUUGGUGAAUUGUCGAUUUCAACAUUGGUAUGUGCUAUGCAGAACAUGCUGUGGGGUGAAGCGCUUGAAUUAAAAGAGAAAGGGACAACUAAUCUUGGGGUUGAGCUAAAAUUUAAGUUUGCAGAACUCAUGGUGCUACUGGGAACACCGAAUAUUUCGGAUAUCUUUCCAAUGCUUUCUUGGCUCGACAUACAAGGUAUAGAGAGGAGAGCAAAGAAGAUUUCACUCUGGUUUGAAAAAAUUAUAAAUUCUACUGUUGAAAAGUAUAGAAGCAAGGACUUUAAUGUUGAAGGUAAAGAAAGAGCAGGGGAAAAUUUUGAAGGAUCAAGGAACAAGAACUUCUUGCAGUUACUAUUGGAGCUUCAAGAAAAUGAAGACGGUUCUUCCUCAAUUAGCAUGAACCAAUUUAAGGCCGUACUCGUGGUAUGUUAAGAAACUAGCCGCAAACAGUUAUACAAGCACAGCUGUAUAUUUUGCAUGAGUGAUAUUUUCAACCUUUUUUUUUUAUAAUUAGAAUUUUAUUGUAACCUUUUGGACAGGAUAUAAUUACGGCUGGAACCGACACCACAACUACGAUGGUGGAAUGGACAAUGGCAGAGUUGAUGCAGCAUCCACAAAUAAUGAAGAAAGUUCAGGAAGAAUUAGCUCAAGUUGUGGGCAUGGACAGUUGUGUUGAAGAAUUUCAUUUGCCUAAAUUGAAAUAUUUAGAUGCUGUGGUGAAAGAAUCGUCUCGUCUGCAUCCUGCAGUGCCUUUAUUACUACCACGCAGAGCAAGCGAGAGUGGCAGCAUUGGUGGCUAUAACAUUCCCAAAGAUACAACUAUUAUGUUGAAUGUUUGGGCAAUCCACAGGGACCCUAAACUUUGGGAUAAUCCCUUAGAAUUUCGACCCGAGAGGUUUCUAGAUGAUGGUAUCGCGAGUAAGUUCGAUUACUCAGGUAACAAUUUUCAGUACUUGCCAUUUGGUUCUGGUAGAAGGAUGUGUGCUGGGAUUCCUCUAGCUGAGAGGAUGCUGAUGUUUGUUUUGGCUUCGUUAUUGCACUCAUUUGAGUGGGAAUUGCCAGCUGGCACAAAGCUAAACUUAUCUGAAAAAUUUGGGAUUGUCAUUAAGAAAAAAGAGCCUUUAGUUGCUAUUCCAACACCAAGACUAUCCAAUUCAGAGCUCUACCAUUAAGACAGAAUGGUUGUGAUGAUUUUGUUAAUUUCCGAAGAUUUGUAUGUUAUGUCAAGUUCAAUCGUAAUAAAAUAUUUCAAAUAAGAGUCCUCCGUUGCUUUUUUUUUUUUUUUCAACCGCAUAAUCUGUCGUCAUGCUUGUAUUUGGGGCUACUUUGGAAUAAUUAUGUUUGAAUUACAAUAUAUAAAUAUUACAUUUUAAAAUUUUAUGAGAUUCUAAAUUUAUACACGUUCAAUAACCCACUUCAUAUAUGUUUAACACAAUUUAUAUCAUACAUUGUAUACCCAUUUGUCAUAAAUUACGCUAUUUUAUAUCUCUAAAUAAUAUUACAUAUUGAUAUUAUAAAAUGUUGUUAACUCACGUGUGUAUAUAUAUAUAGCAAGUCACGUGCAUAUAUUAUUGGUUGUUAUAUGUUUGCUAGUUUGAUAGGAUUUCCUUUCCUUGUGAACUAGGGUAAUUCUUAUGUACAUAUAAAUAUUGAUCAAUAAGAGUGCAGAUGAUGACUGCAGUUUUGCAUCGUAGAAAUUCUUCGUAAAAUAUAUAUGUUUAUCAAAAGGCUAUACCAUUCAAUAUAUAUUGGAAAGAGAACAAAGAAGAUCUUCUUAUGGUUUGAAAAUAUUAUGAAUUCUGCUGUUGAACAGUAUGGAAACAAGGUCUGUUGUUAAAGGUGAAGAAGUCACAGGGAACAAUAUUGAAGGAAGAAAUUUCACGUUUAGUUGCUGAAUUUGCCGCUGUAUUCUAUCGGUAGUAAAAAGAUUAGAGUUUUUAUUUUUCUCUAUUAAUGUUAAGUCAAUUUUCUAUAACAAAUUCGGUUGAGUUUAAUUGUGUUACAAUAUAAAUUGAAUGAUAGUAGAAUUUUCAACGAAUAAUUCAAUAUUUCUAUCUCGAUUGUUGAAGUGCCAUUUAUUUGUUAUACGAUCGAUUUUAAAAUUUAUAAAAUUAUUUGUUACUAAAUUGCAUCAUAUGCUAAAUCACCUGAAACCUAAUUUCAUAACUAACCCUUUAUUUUUAGUUCUCAAGAAAUCUUGUAAGAACAAAAUUCUUUUGUAACAAAACGUUUACAACAAAUUAAUUUGUAACUCAUUCCUGUGCGAGAAUCACUCUCAAUUUCCUUCAAUUGCUGUUUAACAAUCAUCUGCUUAUCAAAAUUCAAGCAUAAUCUUUUUUUUUAAUUUCUUCAUCAUUCUUUUGAAAAAAAAAAUCAGGAUAUGCUGUUAAAUUUUGAAAUAAAUUAUCUCAAAAUAAUUACUAACCAGAAAAAACAAAGGGGUUUAACUAGGUUAUGCAUACCUUUGAAAAUUAUAUGUUGAUCGAUAAGAAUGAUGAUCACGAUUGACGAGUUUAAUUAAAAUAUAUAAGAUUUUAAAAUUAAUCAGGGUUAAAUUGUGAAUUUUAGAAAGAGAGGUUUUGUGAGAAUGUUGAAAGGGUGUUAAUAGUUCCACUCUUUUUAAAAACAACCAUAGUCAUCAUUUUUCCAUGGUUGUUUUUAAAAAGAGUAUUUCUUCUUCCCAUCUCCAUCUUAUUUAGAAAUUUCCCAGAGCCUUUGUUUCCCACCUUUCAUUUUUCUUCUUUCUAAUUUAAUAAUCCACCCUUCUUGUAUUCAAACUAAAAAAUUAAAAUCUGAAAAUUUAAAACCCAAUAUUAUAGUAUUAUAAAAAUAAUUACUCACAUUUUAUCAAACACCUCCAUUCUUCCAAGGCCUUGUUUUAGUAGUAGGCUUUUAUUAUCUCAAUAAAAUUGAAAAAAAAAAUCUCAAUAAUAUUGGAAAAAAACCCUACCCAUAUUUGUAACUUUAAUUUAUUAUUCUCCAUAGACCUACUUUUUAGUUUUGAAUUUUGUUGGAGCCAUAUAUAAACAGAAUAUGUUGAAAUCAGCACCCAAAAAAAAAAAAACUAAUUAUAUAAUUUAUGUUCCCAAGGACAUGGCUGAGUGAUUUUCAAGAAGUUUUGUUUGGCUGGCCACUUAGGUUUAAAUCUUGGUGGAGAUUAAGGGUUAAGAAAUAAAUUUAGACUUUGCACACCCCUUUAACUUUUAAAAAGAAAUGAAAAAAUUAAUUAAUUAAUCUUUAUUUUAUUUAUUAAAUGUCAUAAUCCUAUGCGUAUUUUAUUUGUUAUCUUUCUAUUUAAAAGACGAGGGCAGAUAAAACUGAAAUAAAUUUUUAGCCCUAUCUCCAUAUUUCAAGUUCCAUAGUUAGGUGACCAGCUAAAAAAAAUUAAUUGAAAGCUACUCCAUCAAAUUAAAAAAAUUUAUUUAUUUAAUUUGUGGAGAUGUAGAAAAUCAAACCCCAUACCUUUUCGCAUACACUGAACAUAUUUUAAUACAUGACUAUCAUCCUUUAUCCUAAAUACUACUAUAACUAAUAACAUACAAUUGAAAUAAUUAAUGUUAACACUUGGCUAUAAAUAAAGGUUUUGUGCUUGAAUCUUCACGCAUGACCUUCAUUCCUUUAUUGACUUUGCUAACACAGAUUUUGAGGCAUUAAAACUAAAUAAUAAUUGACUUUGUGGGCCGAGGAUGCCAGCAACAAGGAGACCACAAUUAUCACUUAAGUUACUCUAAUUGCCGUUGUCUUAUAUUCAUAGAAUAUUAGUAAUAAGAUUAUUGCAGAAUUUUUUUAAUAUUAAAAUUAAGUCAAUUUGUUAUAACAAAUUUAGUUGAGUUUAAUCGUGUUACUACAUAAAUUGAAUAAUAAUAGAAUUCUCGACAAAUAUUUCAAUAUUUUUAUCCCAAGCGUUGGAGUGGCAUUUAUUUGUUAUACGAUCGAUUUUAGAACUUAUAAAAUUAUUCGUUACUGAAUUGCACCAUAUGCUGCAUGACCUGAAACUUAAUAAACGGAAUGUAGCGUUGGCACCGUUACUCAACAUACUGUUACGACUUUGUGACAUUAGAAUUAAAAUCUUUUGCACAUUUAAUUUGUUUACUUCAAAAUUAAUAUUUAACAAAAUAUUUUUUUCACAUUAUCAAUGGACAAAACUCCAACGAAAAUAACUACACAAGAAAAAUGUAUGCUAGUAUUGUGUGCCAUAUCAUCUGUAAUUUUGUCAGGAUCGAACACUCUAAUUUUUAAGCAGAACUUUUUAUCAAUGGACAAACACCUCACACAGCUUGUCAGAGGCAUUAUUAUGAUAGAAAACUGUAAUGGUAUAUCUUGAAUUAUUGGUAGAAUAGUUCUUUGGAGCAAUAAAAAUAGAUAAGACAGAUGAGAAAAUUGUCAAUACCCCACCGCAAAAGCAAAAGAAAAAAAGGAAAGGAGACAAAAGAGGAAGAAGAAAAAAAGGAAAGGAGACAAAAGAGGAAGAAGAAAAAGAAAAAAGAACGAAGAAAAAAAUGGUGCCGCGCUGUAUUGGGAAGAAGAAAAAAAUUAAUAAAAUAAUAAUAAAUAAUAAAUAAUAAAUAAUAAAAUAAUAGUGCACAACAAUCAUUUGAUUGCUAUAAAUAAAGGGGCAUUUUCCUCAUUUUAUUCAUCGAAUUCUUCAGUUCCUUUCAAGCGAUUUAAGAGUCUAGUGAUUUGAGAGUUUGGGAGUAUUGUGAUUUUGAGUACUAAGUUAAAAUACUAUAAUACUUGUAACUCAUUUUCACUAGUAAAAUAUUUUUCUUCUGUCUUCGCCCGUAGACGUAGGCUAAAAGCUGAACCACGUAAUUUCUGGUGUCCCUAUGUGAUUAUGUGUCUCAUUAUUUCUCAAUUUUACUUUAGUUACGUGUCUGCUACACCCUUCAAUUUACUAACAAAAAUGGCCAAAAUUAUAUAAGUGACCCAAAUUUUUUUGCUAUUUCCAAGAAAUCCCCAAUCGGAAUAGACCAAACUAGAGGGAGGCAAGUUAGAAAUACGUUUCCUUCAUAAACAAUAACAGCGAUGAGUCGAUGACAUCGAGCCACGUCGGUAUCAAUAUUGAAUUAAAGGUGCAAUUAUUCAGCCAAUGAGCCUUACACAUCAAGAUAAAAGUCAAGAAAAUGAAAAAUUUAUCCUAAUUAAAACACUUUCUGGCUGCAUUUAGCUGUUUCUAUUUGAAGUUAAAAACAACAUUUCUUUCGUUUUGUGGGCAACUCGACUGAGUUCGCUGGCUUCUAGUGCUAGUAUGUGAAAAUAGAAGGCUAAUGAUUUAUUUGUUAUCUUUUGACAAAAAAUGUUAAAGAUAUAAUAGAUUUUCCAUGAUACAAAUGAAAAAUUAUAUCAACAUAACUUCCAAGCUACAGCAGCUAGUGUUUACCAAACACUUUGCUGUAGCUUUUAAGCUACAGCUGCCCAACCUCAAUAGGUUGAUUGAAUUUGUGGGAUAUAGAUUCCACAUAUCUCAUGACCUAUUAAUUAUACAAGUGGUUCUUGAUCAAGAACAACAUUUGCUUCCGACCCAGUAACCCAGCAACUGCUGCACUGGUCGCCACCUAUGGUGCCGACGAUAUUGCAUGGUCCAAUUAUGGCCUUGAAUGGAAAAAGUUGAGCAAAUUAUUUGUGGGCACGAUGAUAAGUAACGCAAGCCUUGAUGCUAGUUAUGGUCGAAGAAAACAAGAGGUUAAGAAUACUAUCAGAGAUAUGCAUAACAACAAAAAGGAAAAAAAAAAAAAAAGGCAUUGGCAAGUCAAUUGAUAUUGCUGAAUUGUCGAUUUCAACUUUGGCAUGUGUAAUUCAGACAUUGCGCGUUGUGGUAUGGCGCUGGCACGCUUGCAUUGCCGAGAGGACAAAUCUUGGGGCUGGGCUAAAAUUUAGGCUUGUAGAACUCAUGGUGCUAAUGGGAACGCCAAAUUUUUUUAACAUAUUUCGGUGCUUUCAUGGUUUAAUUCAAGGUAUAGAAAGGAGUGUUGAGAAUGUCAAAUAAAACGACAUUGAAUGGAAGUUGUCAAAGACAUGAUCCGCACUGAACGGCAAUGACACGGUUGGUAAAGAUUUUUUCAUAAUAUGCGUAUCUAAUUUUUGAAAAAUUGUAACCUCUGCUUCUAUAAAUAUGCUCAAUGUAUAAUGUUUUACUUAAGAAAUGAAAAACUUAAUUCUUUAUGGUAUCAGAGCGAGGCUCGUUGCUCUGUUUGUAACAAAAACAAAGAAAACUAAAUUCUUCCCACAACUAUUUUUCCACCUUUUUUUCUUCCUUAAAAGCAUUCCUAGCAUUACAGAAACCCAUGCCAAUAAAAGAACAAGCCACACAUAUGUAAAAACUUUAGUUUACAAAUCUAUCAACAUCCCCAUAAAUUUUCCCAAAAAGUGAUCUUCAAAAACCAAAAAUACCAUCAAUUUUCGCAUCUUCUAGUAAACAAACUAUAAAAGUUUCGCACUCAAACAGAGCCACACGCGCCUCCACGCGCUUCCCGGAAUCACGGCCAACCACCACGCGCCUCUGUCACCACCAACUCACCCUCAUGCGCUCCAGAUGUUGCAGAAGACGCAAAACGACGUGUCGUUUUCUUCUCUAAAAGUGCAGCAACGUGGAAAUGACUUUUUGUUUUUGCCUUAAAUUGUUUUUCCUCGUUUGAAGCUAUACAACAUUUUUCUUUCUAAACCUGUUUUUUACAAUAAAAAAAGAAAAAAAUGGAGAAAACUCCAACUGAAUCUACUCAUGUUGUCAUUCAAUCUGUUCAACCUGAUGGAGUAUUUAAUGCCGAAAUUAUCCUUACUAAGACAAACUACGAUAUUUGAUCUCAAAUAAUGGAGAUGCAUCUCGCAGAAAGAAAAAAACUCCCAUAUAUUCGUAGCAGCAUAAAUCCAUCUGACAAAUUUUCAAAGAAAUAUGAGAAAUGGUAUAGUGAGAACCAAAAAGUAAAAAGAUGGUUACUCAUAACCAUGUGUCCUGAGAUCAUGAAGCGAUAGUUACAAAUUCCUACAGCCUACGAAAUUUAGAAUGCAUUAUCAAAAGCCUUUUAUAAUGGAAGCGAUGAAAUACAAGUUUUCACUCUAAAUCAGAAGGCGUUCUCUACGAAGCAAAAUGGACAACCACUCUCUAAAUUCUACGGAGAAUUGAUCAAAAUGUUUCAAGAACUUAAUCACCGAGAUAAAGUGGUCAUGAAGGAUCCAGAAGAUGUUAUAAUAUAUAGGAAGUUUGUUGGAAGAUUGAGAGUGCACAUUUUUCUUGCUGGACUAGAUGAAGAAUUUGACCAAGUUUGUGGAGAAAUUCUACGAAAAGAUACUAUCCUAGACUUAAAAGAAUGUUAUUCUCUAAUCCGAAAAGAAGAUGUACGGCAAAGCAAACUAACAAGAAGGUGGACGACUCAGAAACGUCUGCUAUGAUACCACAAGAGAACAAUGUUUUGAAAUUGUUCGAUAUCCUGACUGGUGGGAUACUCGAAGUAAUAACACAAAGCAGAGAUAAAAAACUGCAGUAGCUGAAUCCACAUCCACUACAGAUCUUAGAAAAGAAUCUUCAGCGCAAAUUGCAACCUCUGUCAAUUCAGGUAAGGUCAUUAAAACUCUUACAUUUGUUAUUAAUAGUAUAUGGAUAAUUGAUUAUGGUGCAACUGAUCAUAUGACUUUUGAUUCUUGACAAGUUUCUUAAUUGAAACCAUCUUCACAUAAACAUGUUUCUACUGUAAAUAGAACCACAACCUCAGUUAUUGGGGAAGGAUCUUUACAACUCACAAUUAAAUCAAAUUUAGACUUUGUGUUAAUUGUUCCAUCUUUAAAUUAUAAUCUUUUAUAUGUGUCUCAAAUAACCUCUUACUUAUCAUGUGUUGUAAUGUUUUGGCCCGAUCAUUGCAUGUUUAAGGACAUCCAAAUGAAGGAAACGAUUGGUUAUGAUAUUAAAUAAGGCAACUUGUAUUACCUGGAGAUGACAUCAACAAACACUGAAAAGCUAAGCCCCGCAUUAGUAGCAGACAAUUCCAUGAAAAAAAAGGAAAUAAGAAAUUUGGUUAUGGCAUAGACGAUUAGGGCAUGUGUCAUUUGAUUUCUUAAAAAAAUUGUUUCCUAGUUUGUUUCUGAAAUUUGAUAUUUGUAACUUUAAAUAUGAUGUUUGUGAACUUUCAAAUAGCCAUCGAACUACUUUUCCAUUGUCCUUAAAUAAGAAUCCAAUUCCUUUAAUGGUAGUACAUUCUGAUGUAUAGAGACCAUCUAAAGUUUCUACCAUUGGAAGAGCUCGUUGGUUUGUUACAUUUAUUGAUGAUUGUAGCAGAAUGACAUGGAUUUUUUUAUGAAAUUAAAAUCAUAUGAUGGUGACAACUCUAUUUCAGACACAAAUUUGAGUUCUACAUACUGAUAAUGGAGGCGAGUAUAUGAGCACAACAAUUCAACAGUUUUUGAAAUCACAAUGAACUCACCACCAAACCACUUGUGUGGGGACACUCCAACAAAAUGGCGUUGCUAAACAAAAAAAUAGACAUUUACUAGAAGUUGUUCAAGCAUCACUAAUUUAGGCCCGCAUGCCACUAUUUUAUUGGGGAGAAGCAUUGGCAUCCGUAGCAUACUUGAUCAAUCGGACACCUUCAAUCUUCCUUGGAUUCCAAACUUAUUUUCUAGUUCUAAAUGAAGAAUUAUGUCAUCAAAUGUGUCGAAUUUACCCCCACAUAUGUUUGGUUGUGUUGCCUUCGUUCAUUUGCCAUGACAAGAUAAAUUAUCUCCUCGAGCACUACGUUGUGUGUUUGUAGGGUAUGCCUUACAUCAAAAGGGGUACCGAUGCUAUCAUCCUCUAUUAAGAAAAAAUAUACAUCACCAUGGACAUAAUCUUUCAUGAAGAUAUCAUGUAGUACCCAUCGGAGCUUGAAUUUCAGAGGGAGUAUAAUGAAGAGGAAAUUCAUACUCUUACAUAUCUUUCACCUGAAGAAGAUCAAUCCUCCAUUGAGGUAGUAAACGUUCAAGAUACUGGAAAAGAAAACGACAAUGAUUCUCAGGCUGAGACAAGUGAAGACACAUUUAGGGAGCAAAAUAACUCAGACAUAACCACAAUCGAGAACGAGUCCAUGAAGAGCCACAUGAAGAAAUAUCUAACCAAUCAUCUGCAGAGGAUGAUCCUACCACAAAUCCCAGUCUAAUCAGAAGAAUACUUCCCCAGCAUCAAAAUAGAGGUAUCUCUAAACCCACAUAUAAGACUGACCUCUCUAGUAGAGUCAAAUACCCUAUGAGUCAUUUUGUAUCUAACCAUGGCUUAUCAAAAUCAAAUCAGUCAUUUGUGAAUCAAUUAUCUACUGUGUCUAUUCCUAACAGUGUGCAAUAAGCCUUAAAAUAUCGAAAGUGGAAAGGGCUAUGAAUGACGAAAUGAGAUCUCUUUAAAAAAAAUCAAACAUGGGAACUAAUUGAUCUUCCACCAGGAAAGAAACCAGUGGGUUGCCGAUGGAACUAGUUGAUCAUCCACCUCCAUUCUGACAAGCAAUGUUUAUCAGCAAUAACAAAUGACUGAAGCAUUUUAAUGAGGUUAGUAACGAAAAAGAGUUUAAUUAGAGAAUAUUAUAAGAGAAAUUCUAAUUUUUGAUUUUUAAUAAAUUAAAAUAUCUUAAAAUAUUAUUAGUUGGUGGUGGUUUCAUGUCAGAUUAAGACGUGACACCUUACUAAUGAGGUCGAGACAAUUAGCUUAAAUUAUUUCAAUGCAUUUGAAAUUUCCACUAAUGACUAUAAUUCUUUGUCCUAAUUACUAUGAUAAUUAAUAACAUACAAUUGAAAUAGUUAAUAUUAGCACUUGGCAAUAAAUAAUUAAAUUUCAUUAACACUAAAUAAUAAUUGAAUAUGGCUUUGUACAUCGAUGACGCCAGCAACAAGGGGACCGCGAUUAUCACUCUUUAAGUUGCUUUUAAAAUUGAUUUUAGUAGUGAUAUGAUUAUUGUAGUGUUUUUAUUUUUUAUAUUAAAAUUAAGUGAUUUGUUAUAAUAAACUUAGUUGAGUUUAAUGGUAUUACUACAUAAAUUGAAUAGUUAUCAAAUAUUUUAAUAUUUUUAUGGCAAGCGUUGACGUGGCAUUUAUUUGUUGUAUGAUGGAUUUUAAAAUUUAUAAAAUUAUUUGUUAUUAAAUUACCCCCAGAUGCUACAUCACCUGAAACUUAAUAAAGGUAUGAAGACAUGUGUGUGUGGACUGAAAUGAAGAAUAUGGAAAAGUUGAGAGCUGUUGUGCAGAUUGAGUUCAGUUGAUGGGGUCUAUUAGAUAUUGUCUGCUGACGUGGCAUGAAUUCGUUAUAAUCUGUUAUAACGAGUUCAGUAUAUCAGUAUACAAUAGAGCUGAUGGAUGGUGCCUGUUUUAGAGUCUUUUUUAUAUUCAUUUGUUCAUCAUUUUGCGCAAGAUCUGUUCCAUUGUGAUAUGUGUAAAGUCUUAUGUAAACCCACUUAUGAUUGGAUUAGUUCUUGAUUAAUAACAACGAGUAAAUUUUCCUUCAAGUGUGCUGGUCUGUGCCCCUGUUUUUUGUUCUGAUAUUGUUUCUUUGUUCUGGCAUUUCAUUUCGAUUGUGUUCUUGGUGUUUCUACUCAUCAAGAUUUAUGAGUCUUGUUGAGAUUAAAGACUUAAUAGUCUUAACAAGUGGUAUCAGAGCCUGGUGAAUCUCAGCCAUGUCUCUUUCGAAGCAUGAAAUUGAAAAAUUCACCAUUGGUGGUGAUUUCUCGCUUUCGAAAUUAAAAAUGAGGGCUCUCCUUGUGCAUUAGAGGCUUGAAUUUGCUCUGGAAAAAGAUAAUCUAGAGGCUGCUACAAGUUAUGUGACUGAUGAUAAGAAGAGACAAAUCCAAAACCGAGCUCGUAGCACUCUAGUUUUGAGUCUUGGUGACUCAAUCUUGAGAAAGAUUUCUGAAGAGAAGACAACCUUAGGGAUUUGGAACAAGGUAGAAGCUUUGUGUACAAAGAAGUCGCUAGCUCACAGACUAUUCUUGAAGAAAAAGUUAUACACAUUCUCGAUGAGAGAAGGAGUCACAAUUCAAGAUCACAUUGAUACCUUCAACAAGAUCAUUCUUGAUCUUGAAGGGGUGGAAAAUGUGACAAUAAGUGAUGAAGAUAAAGCCUUCUUCUUGUUGAGUUCCUUACCAAAGUCUUAUGAAGGCUUUGUAGAUACAAUGCUUUAUGGCAGAACAACAUUGACUCUUGAAGAUGUUAAAGCAUCUCUAAGUUCAAAAGAGAUUCAGAAGAACAAUGAGAUUGAAACAAAUAAUGGUGAUGGGCUGAUUGCCAGAUCAGAAAAGAAGAAAGAUCAGAAGAAUAAAAAUCAGGGAAAAUGACAUGGAAAGAAUUAAGAAAAUGCAGACAAGAAGAAAAAGAAGAGAAAAUGCUUCUACUGCCGGAAGGAAGGGCAUUACAUCAGGGAUUGUCUUAAAAAGAAAAAAAAAGAAAGUCAAGAGAAGUCAGGGGAUGCAGCUGUAGCCUCUGAUGAUGCCUCUGAUGGAUAUCACAUUGCUGAUUUACUUGUGGCCUCAAAUAGCAAUACUAAAGGUCAGUGGGUCAUAGACUCUGAGUGCUCUUUUCACUUGUGGCCUGAUAAAACCAUAUUUUACAAAUAUGAAGUUGUUGAUGGUGGUAGAGUCUUAAUGGGAAAUAAUAAUGUGUGUAAUCUUGUUGGUAUUGGUUCUGUGAAGAUCAAGAUGUUUGAUGGAACUGUAAGAGCUCUACAUGAGGUGAGGCAUGCUCCUAGGCUAAAGAGAAAUCUAAUCUCUUUAGGCAUGCUAGACAGCUUAGGGUAUUUCUUUAAAUCAGAAAGUGGUGGUUUAGAGAUAAGAAAGGGGACUGAGAUAGUGAUGAAGGGGGUUAAAGAAAAUGGCUUAUAUGUAUUGUAAGGCUCAUCAGUGCUUCUUCAAAAGGGAAUUUCUGCUCUUUUUGAGGAAGAUAUAACCAAGUUAUGACAUCUUAGACUUGGUCAUAUGAGUGUCAAAGGGAUGUAAGAGCUCAGCAAACAAGGGCUACUUGGUGGGGAUAGAAUCCAGCAACUGGAAUUAUGUGAAAAUUGCAUUUUUGGCAAAGCUCACAGGUCCAAGUUUCACAAGGGGGAGCAUAUGUCUAAGCAAGUUUUGGACUAUGCACAUGCUGACCUUUGGGGGCCUGCUCAAGUCCCAUCCUUGAGUGGUGGCAGGUAUUUCAUAUCACUAAUUGAUGAUUACUCAAGGAAGAUGUGGGUCUACAUACUCAAGACCAAAGAUCAAGCCUAGGAAAAAAUUCAAGGUAUAGAAAUCUUUGGUAGAAAAUCAAUUUGGAUUCAAGCUCAAAUGCUUGAGAACUGAUAAUGGUUUGGAAUUUUGUAGCAAAGAAUUUGAGGAAUAUUACAAAAAAACAUGGCAUAAAAAGGCACAAAACAGUCAGGUUCACCCCCCAGCAGAAUGGCUUGGCUGAAAGGAUGAACAUGACCUUGGUAGAUAAGACCAGAUGUAUGUUGAUAAAUUCAAAGCUUCCAAGAAGCUUUUGGGCAGAAGCUGUCAAUACAACAAGUUGUUUGGUUAACAGAAGCCCAUAUUCUGCAAUUGGCUUCAAAACACCAGAAGAAUUGUGGAAGGAAAAACCUGUAAAUUACCAAAAUCUCAGUGUUUUUGGAUGCCCUGCUUAUCUCCACAUCAAUCAAGGCAAGCUGGAAGCUAGGGCCUUGAAAGGAGUCUUUGUUGGAUAUCCUGAUGGGGUUAAGGGAUACAUAAUCUGGUGUAGAGAGUAAGGGAAGUGUAUAGUCAGCAGGGAUGUUGUGUUUCAUGAAUUUGGAUUGCUAAAAGAAAAUGCAGAGAAUGAUACUAGACUACAAAAUGAUUCAAUAAUUAUCAAACAAUCUGGAACUUCCAAGGUUAAGGUGGAGCUGUUUGGAAAUAAAGACAGUAGAAAAGAGGUAGCUGAUUAUGAAGAGAGGACCACAGCUAAAGUUGAGGAACAUGAGUCAUCAGAGUUGCCACAAGCUGACUUGCAGACUUAUCAGUUAGCAAGAGAUAGAGUUAGAAGAGAAGUCAAAGCACUAGUGAGGUAUGGCUAUGCUGACUUAAUUACUUAUGCAUUGUUGUGUGCUGAUGAUGUGGCAAUUGAAGAGCCUGCUAACUUCUCUGAAGUUAUUGAAAGUGUGCAUUGUGAUAAGUGGCUUGAGGCAAUGCAAGAUGAAAUGGGAUCCCUUCAAAGAAAUCAGACCUGGACACUUGUUCCAAAUCUAGGUAAUAAAAAGUUGAUCAGUUGUAAGUGGAUCUUCAAGAAGAAUGAAGGAAUUCCAGAUGUUGAACCUCCCAAAUAUAAAGCAAGGCUAGUGGCUAGGGGGUUUACACAGAGAAAGAGUGUAGAUUUCAAUGAAAAAUUUUCCCCUGUUCUUAAGCACAUUUCAAUAAGAAUUUUAUUAGUCAUGGUAGCCUUACUUGACUUGGAGCUUGAGCAAAUGGAUGUAAAAACAGCAUUCCUUCAUGGUAAUCUUGAAGAACAGAUAUUGAUGGCACAACCUAAAUGUUUUGAGUGCAAAGGAAAUGAGGAUUAUGUUUGUUUGCUGCAUAAGUCCUUGUAUGGACUCAAGCAAUCCCCACGACAGUGGUACAUAAGAUUUGAUGAUUUUAUGGUCUCAAAAGGCUAUCACAUAAGCAAAUAUGACAGUUGUGUUUACUUUGGUGGAUCAUAUCAAGGUGGAGUUGCUUAUUUGCUUCUGUAUGUUGAAGAUAUGUUAAUUGCAAGAAAAUAUAAGUUGGAGAUAGAGAGGUUGAAGAAAUGAAGGAUCUCGGCAAUGCCAAAAGAAUCCUUGGGAUGAACAUUACAAGGGGCAGAUCUGCUGACACUUUGUUCUUGAGUCAUGAGAAAUAUAUCAAGAAGGUUCUGGAGAGGUUUGAGAUGCAAGACUAUAAACCUGUCCAAACACCACUUGGUCCCCAAUUCAAGUUGACAGCAGCUCAAUCAUCAGAAGAUGAGUCUCAGGUGAGUGAAUUCCCAUAUGCACAGGUUGUAGGGAGCCUGAUGUAUGUAAUGGUAUGCACCAGGUCAGAUAUAGCUUAUGCAGUAAGUGUUGUCAGCAAAUUUCUCAGUUGUCUAGGCAAGGUUCACUGGAAUGUUGUAAAAUGGAUAAUGAGAUAUCUUAAGGGCUCUUUUACUUGUGGUUUGCUGUAUGGGAAGACUAAGAGUGACAUAAGUGAAGUCCUGGGGUUUGUAGACUCUGACUUUGCUGGAGAUCUUGAUAGAAUGAAGUCAACCUCAGGGUAUAUGUUUGUGUUAAACAGUUGCCUGAUUAGCUGGAAGUCAUCACUUCAGUCUGUGGUUGCUUUAUCCUCAACUGAAGCUGAGUUUGUUGCAACUACAGAGGCAGUAAAAGAGGCCAUGUGGCUAAGAGGUUUGCUUAAUGAGUUAUGGUUAAAUCAGAAAAUUGUUCAGGUUUUCUGUGAUAACCAAAGUGUCAUACACCUGGUAAAGAAUCAGAUGUAUCAUGAAAGAACCAAGCACAUUGAUGUGAAGCUCCAGUUUAUCAGAGAUGAGGUUGGAAAAGGAACUAUAAUUGUGUCCAAGAUCUAUACCAGUGUGAAUCCAACUGAUGUUAUUACAAAAGCACUUCCCACUGCAAAAUUUGAAUUCUAUGUGAAUCUAAUGGGCAUCUCGCCCAAACCUAACUAAAUUCAAUAGUGAAUUGUAGUUGAAUGAAGGUUUUUUAGGUGCUGUGUUAUUGAAAGGAUCAACUGAAUCAACUGCAAGGUGGAGAAUGUGAAGAUGUGUGUGUGGACUGAAAUGAAGAAUAUGAAAAAGUUGAGAGCUGUUGUGCAGAUUGACUUCAGUUGAUGGGGUCUAUUAGAUAUUGUCUGCUGACGUGGUAUGAAUUCGUUAUAAUCUGUUAUAACGAGUUCAAUAUAUCAGUAUAUAAUGGAGCUGAUGGAUGGUGCCUGUUUUAGAGUCUUUUUCGUAUUCAUUUGUUCAUCAUUUUGCACAAGAUUUGUUCCAUUGUGAUCUGUGUAAAGUCUUCUGUAAAUCCACUCAUGAUUGGAUUAGUUCUUGAUCAAUAACGAGUAAAUUUUCCUUCAAGUGUGCUGGUCUGUGCCCCUGUUUUUGGUUCUAAUAUUGUUUCUUUGUUUUGGCAUUUCAUUUCGAUUGUGUGCUUGGUGUUUCUACUCAUCAAGAUUUGUGAGUCUUGUUGAGAUUAAAGGCUUAAUAGUCUUAACAAAAGGGAAUGUAGCAUUGCCAUUAAUCAACAUUCACUCUUAUGACUUUAUGACAUUAGAAUUAAAAUCUUUCGUACAUUUAAUUUAUUUGCUUCCAAAUUAAUCUUUAAUAAAUAUUUUUUCACAUUAUCAUCAAUGGACAAAACUCCAACGAAAAUAACUACACGAGAACAAUUUAUGCUAGUAUUAAAUGCCACGAUAUCUAUAACUUUGUCUGGAUCGAUCAUUCUAAUUUUUUCGCAGAACUUUUUGUCAAUGGACAAACACCUCACAGAGCUUGUCAGCCGCAUUAUUACGAUGUAAAAUUGUACCGGAAUAUCUUGAAUUAUUAGUAGAAUAAUGAAGACUAUUUGGGGCAAUAAAAACAAAUAACGCAGAUAAAAAAAUGGCUAAAAUUAUGUAAGUGAGCCCCAAAGUUUUUGCUAUUUCCAGGAAAUCCCAAAUUUGAAUGGACUAGAGGGAGGCACGUAAGAAAUACAUUUUCUUCCUAGACAAUGACAGCUAUGACAUCAAGCCACGGUGGCGUCAGUAUUGAAAUUAAGGUGUAAUUAUUCAGCCAAUGAGCCUUACACAUCAAGAUAAAAGUCAAGAUAAUGAAAAUUUGGCUGUUUCCAUUUGAAGUUAAAAGCAACGUUUCUUUCGUUUUGUGGGCGACUCGACUGAGCACGCCCCAAUAGCUAUAUUUAGGGCGUCAAUUUGAUAUUUGAAUGGACAGGCAAGUAAGAAAUACAUUUCCUUCAUAGACAAUGACAACGAGGACAUCAAGCCACAUCAUUAUAGUUUGUAGCCCAUCUACAUUUAAACGAUUAAUAAACAAGCUUAGGUGUGCCACUGCUAUUAUUAAUUAUCCCCUGAUCAUUAUAGUUUCUGAAACAGUAAAACUAAACGAAAUUGAAUACAUCAACGAGACCGCAAUUAUCACUUGUUUAGUUGCGGUAUUUAACUUAAUUUUAAUAUAAUAUAUUUGUUAGUUAAACUUUUAAUAAUCAAAUAAUUUUGAUUUAAAAAUAAAAUUAUAGAAAUUAUUAAUUAUUAAUUAUUAAAAAUUCACAAUUAAGGGAACGUUCAUCAAACACACAUAGCUAUUGUUUUCUCUAUAUAUUGCAGUGUGUACGAUAUUGAGGGUUGAAGCCCCAAGCAUGCUCUAAAAUCCAGAUAAUAAUUAGAUCCGGGCCAAAUAUUCAUCAUUGUGUCAGCUGAUCAGUCGGUGGACAUCUCUAUUGAAAAUAUCUCUGACAUUUCACUCGACAAACUUAUUAAUAUAAAAAAUCUGUGGUUUUGCCGUCUGAAUAAUGUAGAAAAAUUUGUCUAUGCAUUAAUCUAGAUGUUUGAGGUGAUUUAUACAUCUGUGGUAAAGAUUUAUAGGUUGACUUAGACGUCUGUGGUAUAGAUUUUAUGUAUUUCAUUACAAAAUGCUGGCCGUUAGAACCCUUUCUACAUCUAUUUAUAAGAUUAACGGGUGCCAGCUAUGCCAUUACAAAUUAUCCCCUCAUCAGAUAUUUCGUUAAAAUUCAUUCUGAAACACUAAAACUAAAUAAUCGAAUAUGGCUUUGCGGGUCGAUGAUGCCAGCAGCAAUGAGACUGCAAUUAUCACUUGUUUAGUUUCUGUGCUGGCCGUGGUUUACUUCGCAUGGAAUGUGAAAAAAUCAAGGAAAGCAAAUGCUACACUGCCACCAGGACCUCGCGGCUUGCCUGUAUUCGGAUACCUCCCAUUUCUUGGAACUACUGACUUGCACAAGAAAUUCACGGAAUUAUCCGGAGUUUAUGGUCCGAUCUUCAAGCUUUGGCUUGGAAAUAAAUUAUGUGUAGUGGUGAGCUCACCUUCCCUAAUUAGACAAGUGGUUCGUGAUCAAGAUACAACAUUCGCGAACCGUGACCCACCGAAGGCUGCACUAGUGGUCUCCUAUGGUGGCAAUGAUAUUGCAUGGUCCAAUUACGGUCCCGAAUGGAGAAAGUUGCGCAAAUUUUUUGUGGGCAAGAUGAUGAAUAACGCAAGCCUUGAUGCUUGUUAUGCUCUAAGAAGACAAGAGGUUAAAAAUACUAUCAGGGAUUUGUAUAACAACGACAACAAAAUUGGCAAGCCCAUUGACAUUGGUGAAUUGUCGUUUUCAACAUUGGUAUGUGCUAUACAGAACAUGCUGUGGGGUGAAGCGCUUGAAUUAAAAGAGAAAGGGACCACUAAUCUUAGGGCUGGGCUAAAAUUUAAGCUGGCAGAACUCAUGGUGCUUGCGGGAACACCGAAUAUUUCGGAUGUCUUUCCAAUGCUUUCAUGGCUUGACAUACAAGGUAUAGAGAGGAGAGCAAAGAAGAUUUCACUCUGGCUUGAUAAUGUUAUAAAUUCUACUGUUGAACAGCAUAGAAACAAGGAGUUAACUGUUGAAGGUGAAGAAAGAGCGGGGAAAAAUUUUGAAGGAUCAAGGAACAAGAACUUCUUGCAGUUACUAUUGGAGCUUCAAGAAAAUGAUGACAGUGCUUCCUCAAUUAGCAUGAACCAAUUCAAGGCCGUACUCGCGGUAUGUUAAGCAACUAGCCACGAACAGUUAUACAAGCACAAUUGUAUAUUUGCAUGAGUGAUAUUUUCAACCUUUUUUUUUAAUUAGAAUUUUAUUGUCACCUUUUGGACAGGAUAUAAUUACGGCUGGAACCGACACCACAACUACGAUGGUGGAAUGGACAAUGGCAGAGUUGAUGCAGCAUCCACAAGUAAUGAAGAAAGUUCAGGAAGAAUUAGCUCAAGUUGUGGGCAUGGACAGUUGUGUUGAAGAAUUUCACCUGUCUAGAUUAAUGUAUUUAGAUGCUGUGGUGAAGGAAACAUUUCGUCUGCAUCCUGCAGUGCCUUUAUUACUACCACGUAGGGCAAGCGAGAGUGGCAACAUUGGUGGCUAUACCAUUCCCAAAGAUACAACUCUUAUGUUGAAUGUUUGGGCUAUCCACAGGGACCCUCACCUUUGGGAUAAUCCCUUAGAAUUUCGACCCGAGAGGUUUCUGAAUGUUGGUAUCGAGAGUAAGUUCGAUUACUCAGGUAACAAUUUUCAGUACUUGCCAUUUGGUUCUGGUAGAAGGAUGUGUGCUGGGAUUCCUCUAGCUGAGAGGAUGCUGAUGUUUGUUUUGGCUUCGUUAUUGCACUCAUUCGAGUGGGAAUUGCCAACUGGCACAAAGCUAAACUUAUCAGAAAAAUUUGGGAUUGUCAUUAAGAAAAAAGAGCCUUUGGUUGCUAUUCCAACACCAAGACUAUCCAAUUCAGAGCUCUACCAUUAAGACCAAAUGGUUGUGAUGAUUUUGUUAAUUUCCGAAGAUUUGUAUGUUAUUUCAAGUUCAAUCGUAGUAAAAUAUUUCAAAUAAGAGUCCUCCGUUGCUUUUUUUUUUUUUUUUCAACGGCAUAAUCUGUGGUCAUGCUUGUAUUUGGAGCCACUUUAGAAAAAUUAUGUUUGAAUUACAAUUUAUAAAUAUUACAUUUUAAAAUAUUAUGAGGCUAAAUUUAUACACGUUCAAUAACCCGCUUCAUAUAUAUUUAACACAAUUUAUAUCAUACAUUGUACACCCAUUUAUCAUAAAUUACACUAUUUUGUAUCUCUAAAUAAUAUUACGUAUUGAUAUUAUAAAAUAUAUAUGGAAAAGAGAACAAAGAAGAUUUCUUAUGGUUUGAAAAUAUUAUGAAUUCUGCUGUUGAACAGUAUGGAAACAAGGUCUCUGUUGUUAAAGGUGAAGAAGCAACAGGGAACAAUAUUGAAGGAAGAAAUUUCACAUGUUUAGUUGCUGAAUUUGCCGCUGUAUUCUAUCGGUAGUAAAAAAAUUAGAGUUUUUAUUUUUCUCUAUUAAUGUUAAGUCAAUUUUCUAUAACAAAUUCGGUUGAGUUUAAUUGUGUUACAAUAUAAAUUGAAUGAUAAUAGAAUUUUCAACGAAUAUUUCAAUAUUUCUAUCUCGAUUGUUGAAGUGCCAUUUAUUUGUUAUGCGAUCGAUUUUAAAAUUUAUAAAAAUUAUUUGUUACUAAAUUGCAUCAUAUGCUAAAAUCACCUGAAACCUAAUUCCAUAACUAACCCUUUAUUUUUAGUUCUCAAGAAAUCUUGUAAGAACAAAAUUCUUUUAUAACAAAACUUUUACAACACAUUAAUUUGUAACUCAUUCCUGUGCGAGAAUCACUCUCAAAUUCCUUCAAUUGCUGUUGAACAAUCAUCUGCUUAUCAAAAUUCAAGCAUAAUCUUUUCUUUUUUUUAAUUUCUUCAUCAUUCUUUUGAAAAAAAAAAAUCAGGAUAUGCUGUUAAAAUUUUGAAAUAAAUUAUCUCAAAAUAAUUACUAACCAGAAAAAACAAAGGGGUUUAACUAGGUUAUGCAUACCUUUGAAAAUUAUAUGUUGAUCGAUAAGAAUGAUGAUCACGAUUGAGGAGUUUAAUUAAAAUAUAUAAGAUUUUAAAAUUAAUCAGGGUUAAAUUGUGAAUUUUAGAAAGAGAGGUUUUGUGAGAAUGCUGAAAGGGUGUUAAUAGUUCCACUCUUUUUAAAAGCAACCAUAGUCAUCAUUUUUCCCGAUUUCUUCUUCCCAUCUCCAUCUUAUUUAGAAAUUUCCCAGAGCCUUUGUUUCCCACCUUUCAUUGUUCUUCUUUCUAAUUUAAUACUAUAGGAUUACAAAAAUAAUUACUCACAUUUUAUCAAACACCUCCAUUCUACCAAGGCCUUGUUUUAGUAGUAGGCUUUUAUUAUCUCAAUAAAAUUGAAAAAACAAAUCUCAAUAAUAUUGGAAAAAAAAAACCUACCCAUAUUUGUAACUUUAAUUUAUUAUUCUCCAUAGACCUACUUUUUAGCUUUGAAUUUUGUUGGAGCCAUAUAUAAACAGAAUAUGUUGAAUCAGCACCAAAAAAAAAAAAAAAAAACUAAUUAUAUAAUUUCUGUUCCCAAGGACAUGACUGAUUGAUUUUCAAGAAGUUUUGUUUGGCUGGCUACUUAGGUUUAAAUCUUGGUGGAGAUUAGGGGUUAAGAAAUAAAUUUGGACUUUGCACACCCCUUUAACUUUUAAAAAGAAAUGAAAAAAACUAAUUAAUUAAUCUUUAUUUUAUUUAUUAAAUAUCAUAAUCCUAUGCGUAUUUUAUUUGUUAUCUUUCUAUUUAAAAGACAGGAGGGCAGAUAAAACUGAAAUAAAUUUUUAGCCCUAUCUCCAUCUUUCAAGUUCCAUAGUUAGGUGACCAGGUAAAGAAAAUUAAUUGAAAGCUACUCCAUCAAAUUAAAAAAUUUUAUUUAUUUAAUUUGUGGAGAUGUAGAAAAUCAAACCCCAUGCCUUUUCGCGUGGAAAAGUGUCAACCUGGUCUAGCUAUGUUGCAAAAGUGAACAUAUUUUAAUACAUGACUAUCAUCCUUUAUCCUAAAUACUACUAUAACUAAUAACAUACAAUUGAAAUAAUUAAUGUUAACACUUGGCUAUAAAUAAAGGUUUUGUGCUUGAAUCUUCACGCAUGACCUUCAUUCCUUUAUUUACUUUGCUAACACAGAUUUUGAGGCAUUAAAACUAAAUAAUAAUUGACUUUGUGGGCCGAGGAUGCCAGCAACAAGGAGACCACAAUUAUCACUUGUUAAGUUACUCUAAUUGCCGUUGUCUUAUAUUCAUAGAAUAUUAGUAAUAAGAUUAUUGUAGAAUUUUUUUAUAUUAAAAUUAAGUCAAUUUGUUAUAACAAAUUUAGUUGAGUUUAAUCGUGUUACCACAUAAAUUGAAUAAUAAUAAAAUUCUCGACAAAUAUUUCAAUAUUUUUAUCCCAAGCGUUGGAGUGGCAUUUAUUUGUUAUACGAUCAAUUUUAGAAUUUAUAAAAUUAUUCGUUACUGAAUUGCACCAUAUGCUGCAUGACCUGAAACUUAAUAAACGGAACGUAGCGUUGGCACCGUUACUCAACAUACUGUUACGACUUUGUGACAUUAGAAUUAAAAUCUUUUGCACAUUUAAUUUGUUUACUUCCAAAUUAAUAUUUAACAAAAUAUUUUUUCACAUUAUCAAUGGACAAAACUCCAACGAAAAUAACUACACAAGAAAAAUGUAUGCUAGUAUUGUGUGCCAUAUCAUCUGUAAUUUUGUCAGGAUCGAUCAUUCUAAUUUUUAAGCAGAACUUUUUAUCAAUGGACAAACACCUCACACAGCUUGUCAGAGGCAUUAUUAUGAUGGAAAACUGUAAUGGUAUAUCUUGAAUUAUUGGUAGAAUAGUUCUUUGGAGCAAUAAAAACAGAUAAGACAGAUGAGAAAAUUGUCAAUACCCCACCGCAAAAGCAAAAGAAAAAAAGGAAAGGAGACAAAAGAGGAAGAAGAAAAAGAAAAAAGAACGAAGAAAAAAAUGGUGCCGCGCGGUAUAGGCAAGAAGAAAAAAUAAUAAUAAAAUAAUAAAAUAAUAGUGCACAACAGUCAUUUGAUUGCUAUAAAUAAAGGGGCAUUUCCCUCAUUUUAUUCAUCGAAUUCUUCAGUUCCUAAGCGAUUUAAGAGUCUAGUGAUUUGAGAGUUUGGGUAUAGUAUAGUUUUGAGUAGUGAGUUAAAAUAUUACAAUACUUAUAACUUAUUUUUACUAAUAAAAUAUUUUUCUUCUAUCUUCACCCGUGGACGUAGGGUCAAAGCCGAAUCACAUAAUUUUUAGUAUCCCUAUGUGAUUAUGUAUCUCAUUAUUUUUCAAUUUUACUUUAGUUACGUGUCUGCUACAUCCUUCAAUUUACUAACAAAAAUGGCCAAAAUUAUAUAAGUGACCCAAAUUUUUUUGCUAUUUCCAAGAAAUCUCCAAUCUGAAUGGGCCAGACCAGAGGGAGGCAAGUUAGAAAUACGUUUCCUUCAUAGACAAUAACAGCGAUGAGUCGAUGACAUCGAGCCACGUCGGUAUCAAUAUUGAAUUAAAGGUGCAAUUAUUCAGCCAAUGAGCCUUACACAUCAAGAUAAAAGUCAAGAAAAUGAAUAUUUAUCCUAAUUAAAACACUUUCUGGCUGCAUUUAGUUGUUUCCAUUUGAAGUUAAAAGCAACGUUUCUUUCGUUUUGUGGGCAACUCGACUCAGUUAGCUGGCUUCUAGUGCUAGUAAGUGAAAAUAGAAGGCUAAUGAUUUAUUUGUUAUCUUUUGAUAAAAUUAUUAAAGAUAUAAUAGAUUUUUCAUGAUACAAAUAAAAAAUCACAUCAACAUAGCUUCCAAAGUACAACAGCUAAUGUUUACCAAACACUUUGUUGUAGCUUUUAAGCUACAGCUGCCCAACUUUAAUUUCAAAUGCACCCUUAAUAGGUUGAUUGAAUUUGUGGGAUAUAGAUUCCACAUAUCGUAUGACCUAGUAACUAUACAAGUGGUUCGUGAUCAAGACACAACAUUUGCUUCCGGCCCGGUGACCCAGCAAUCGCUGCAUUGGUCGCCACCUAUGGUGCCAACGAUAUUGCAUGGUCCAAUUGUGGCCUUGAAUGGAAAAAGUUGAGCAAAUUAUUUGUGGACACGAUGAUAAGUAACGCAAGCCUUGAUGCUAGUUAUGGUCCAAGAAAACAAGAGAUAUGCAUAACAACAAAAAGGAAAAAAAAAAAAAAAAAAAAAAAGGCAUUUGCAAGCCCAUUGAUAUUGGUGAAUUGUCGAUUUCAACUUUGGCAUGUGUAAUCCAGAGCCUGCGCGCUGUGGUGUGGCGCUGGCACGCUUGCAUUGACGAGGGGACAAGUCUUGGGGCUGAGCUAACAUUUAAGCUCGCAGAACUCAUGGUGCUAAUGGGAACACCAAAUAUUUUUUGACAUAUUUUGGUGCUUUCAUGGUUUAAUUCAAGGUAUAGAAAGGAGUGUUGAGAAUGUCAAAUAAAACGGUAUUGAAUGGAAGUUGUUAAAGACACGAUCCGCACCGAACGACAACAGCACGGUUGCUAAAAAUCCUUCCGUAAUAGGCAUAUCUAAUUUUUGAAAAAGUGUAACCUCUACAUUUAUAAAUAUACUCAAUGUAUAAUGUUUUACUUAAGAAAUGAAAAACUUGUUUGUUCAAGGAGAAUAAAGAAAAAUUUUCUAUGAUUUUUCUAUGGUUUGAACAAAGAAGGUUUUAACGAGUAUUAUAGACCUCGAUUGAAUGUUCGAAUGUAUAAUAAAAGAGAAACUGUCACAUAAAUGACAAAGAUACUUGAAAAAAAAAAAAAAGGGCAGCAAUAGAGAAUUAGAUCCGACUGUACAAAUAACUAGUUAAUUCAUCGAUACAUCAUUUUCUUGCUAGAAAAUGACAAUUAUGACAGCAAGCCACGAUAGUGUCAAUAUUGAAAUUGAUUUGCAAUUAUUCAGCCUAUGAGCCUUACACGUCAAGAUAAAAGUCAAGAAAAUGAAAGUUAAUAUCAAUUAAAACACUUCCAUUUCUAUGUGAAGUUAAAAAACAACGUUUCUUUUGUUUUGUGGGGGAUUCAACUGAGCACGCGCCACUAGCUAGCUGGCUUCUAGUUCUAGCAUAUGAAAACAGAAUUCUAAAGAUUUCACUUUCACCUUUUUUCUUUUUUUGGGGUUUUGAAUCAAAGUCAAGGUCGCACUGAAUAAUAUGUAAAAUUUGAAAAAGAAGAAUUAAUAGAGAACAAAGUUUUGUUUUAAAUUCACAUGGUGUGCAUACAAUUCAACAAACACUUCCUAUAAUAAAUCUGGAGUUGUAUCCCACGUUGAACAAUAAAGGAAAGUCACCUAAAUAUACAUGUAGGAUAAGUUACUUUAUUUAGUAAGUUUGUAUUUUCUUCUUUCUUCUAGUUUACAUAUAAAUUUGAUUAGAUAACUUAACACAUAUUUUAAUACUUGAUCAGAAGCCCGACGUACAGGUGGAUCUAGAAACUUGAUUUCUAAGAGUAAUACUAUAAUAAAAAAAUAAUGAUUCAUAGAACCAAUAUCAAAAUUUGUUUACAAGAUUGCCCCCACUCAAAGGUAAUUUUCAUAGAAAUUAAUAGGAAAUUUAAUUGUUAGUGGGGUCAAAUUGCCCCCACACUCUGAAUGUAGAUCCACGCCCGACCCUGAGUCAAGUAUAUUUUGCCACAUAUACUCUGAAUGUCGGCAGGAAAAAUCUUCCACUUUAGUUAAAAAUUUUCACUUAAAAAAUAUUUAUGUUAAUAAAGUUCGUAAAGGAAAUGAGUUUAAUUAAUGAAUAUUAUAGGAGAAAUUAAAGGAAAUGAGUUUAAUUAAAGAAUAUUAUAGGAGAAAUUCUAUUGUUCGGCUUUUAAUAAAUUAAUUAAUAGGUUUAAAAGAUUAAUAUACAUCAAAAUAUUAUUAGUUGGUGGGGGUUCCACAUCGGACUAAUACGUGUCACCUUACUUGUGAGAUUAAGACAAUCGACUUAGACUAUUUAAAUAUGUUUGAAGCUUAGAUGGCACCGCUUCAAUUUGCAUUACUGAAUGUCAUUCUUUAUCCUAAUUACUACCGUAAUUGAUAACAUGCAAUUGAAGUAACUAAUAUUAGCACUUGGCUAUAAAUGAACUAAAGGCCGUGCAAUUGAAUCUUUACUUGAUCACUUCACUCCUUUAUUUUGCUAACACAGAUUUUGAGAUAUUAAAACGAAAUAAUAAUUGAAUCUGGCUUUGUGGGUCGAUGAUGCUAGCAAAAACGAGACCACAAUUAUCACUUGUUUAUUUGCUGUAUUUGACGUUGUUUCAUAUUGGUAGUAAUAGGGUCAGUUUUUAAUCUUUUUAUAUUAAAGUUAAGUCAAUUUGUUAUCAAAAAAAAAAAUUGGUUGAGUUUAAUUAUAUUGCUAUGUACAUUAAAUAAUUAUAAUAUUCUUGAGGGAAAAAGACACCUAGAACCUCAAGGUUUGGGGAAAUGGUCACAAAGACUCCUAAGUUUUAAAAAAGGAACACUAAGAUCUUUUUUUACCCAUAAUACCCUUUGACUAGAGUAAUUAAAAAAUUGACUUUAAAGGUUUUUAAAUAAUUCUAAUUUAAUAUAAAUCAUAUAAUCUAUCUAGUAAACUAAUAAUAUUAAAUUAUUUUUUAUAUUUAAAAUAAUGUUAAAUUUUAAAUUAUUAUAUUUAUAAAAUUAUAAAGAUUUUAAAUAAAUAUUUGGAUUGAAUAUAUUUUACAAUUAAAAGUCUUCCUAUUAAUAAUAUUAAAAUUUAAUUUUACAAAAUAUAUAUUCAAAAUAUUUUUAAUUUUAAUUUAUUUAUUUUAAUAUUAUGUUUCUACCUAUUAUUAAAAAUUACUUUAAUAUAAUAAAAUAGGUCUAAUAGAUUGAAAAAUAUGAAAAUAUUUUUAAAAUUUUAAAUUAUUUUGAAAUGUAUAUAUUAUUACAUUUAUUUCAAUGUCAUAUUUUCAUUUAUUAUAAAAUUUUGGGGUUAUUUUUUUGGGAAUUUAUAGAGUCAAAGAGCAUUAUAAUUUAAUCCAUGCACAAUAUCUAUAAUUAUAUCGGUUGUCGGCUGAUUUCGUGGAGGGGGCGGCAGUUCAAAAUUUUUACGUGCAUGUUGGAUGGACGUCUCUAUUAAAGGAGAGCCACCACUUGCAUGGUAAUUUUUUUAAAUAAAUAUAUACAUUUCAAAACAUUAUUUUCUUGUUGUAUAGUUAACAUGUCACCUUAGAUGUAUUUUAGAGCUUCUCCUAUUAAAGAUAAUCUCAUGCAGUGUUACAGAGUAUGGUAAUAUGGUAUAGAUGAGAGCAUCUGAUUAAAUGAAGCAGCUGGUAAUGCUUACGUGUGUGAGUUAGUUAUCCAGCUCAGCAGCAAAGCAAACGAAAUGAAUUGCAUGCAUAUUAGAUCCAACAAACUGGUAAACUCUAGAUUCUUCUUUCAUUUAGUAUAAAUACCAAGUUGUUAUCAUUUGCUAAAUAUAUAAUAAGAUGAUCAUUUUCAGAUCUUUCCUUUAUAAUUUUCUAUAACUUUCUCGUUAGUUUCUCUUGAACCAAACACUUUGUACGAACUCUUUCGUGCAGUGAUACUUCUCGUGAUCUAAUCAUUAGUAGAAUCUAUAAUUUCGCUACUGUAAUAAAAUCUGUCACUACCCUAUAUGAAUGUAGAUAUUUGACGCGAUUUGUAAUUGCUUCCGACAGGAAAACAGCAAUAGUUUUAUUGAAAUUUGUGGUAUAGAUUCCACGAAUCUUAUGACAGAAUACUGACCACUCCAACCCUAUCCGCAUUUACACGAUUAAUACACAAGCUUAGAUGUGACAAUGCAUUUGUCACUCAUUCAAAUUCAUCCUGAAACACUAUACACUAAAUAAUCGAAUAUGGCUUCGUGGGUCGAUGAUGCUAGCAGCAACGAGACUGCAAUUAUCACUUGUUUUGUUGCUGUACUUGUCGUGGUCUAUUUCGCAUGGAAUGUAAACAAAUCAAGUAAAGCAAAUGCUAAAUUGCCACCAGGACCUCGGGGCUUGCCAGUAGUCCGAUACCUCCCAUUUCUUGGAACUACUGACUUACACAAGACAUUCACGGAGUUAUCUGGAGUUUAUGGUCCGAUCUUCAAGAUUUGGCUUGGGAAUAAAUUGUGUGUAGUGGUGACCUCGCCUACCCUAGUUAAACAAGUGGUCCGUGAUCAAGAUAUAACAUUCUCAAACCGCGACCCACCGAUCGCUGGAACUGUGACCACCUACGGUGGCAAUGAUAUUGCACUUUCCAAUUACGGUCCCGAAUGGAAAAAGUUGCGAAAAUUAUUUGUGAGCAAGAUGAUGAGUAAUGAGACCCUUGAUGCUUGUUAUGCUCUAAGAAAACAAGAGGUUAAAAAUACUAUCAGGGAUUUGUAUAACAACAAUAAGGAUAAUAUUGGCAAUGGCAAUGGCAAGCCCAUUGACGUUGGUGAAUUGUCGAUUUCAACUUUGGUACGUGUUAUGCAGAACAUGCUGUGGGGUCAAGCAUUGGAAACAAGAGAGAAAGAGAUUACUAAUCUCGGGGCUAAUCUUGCAGAACUCAUGGUGCUACUGGGAACACCAAAUAUUUCGGAUAUUUUUCCAGUGCUUUCAUGGCUUGACAUGCAAGGUAUAGAGAGAAGAGCUAAGAAGAUUUCUCUAUGGUUUGAAAAUAUUAUCAAUUCUGGUGUUGAACAGUAUAGAAACAAGUUCUCUGUUGUUAAAGGUGAAGAAGCUGCAGCACGAAAAAAUAUUGAACGAUCAAGAAAUAAGGACUUCUUGCAGUUGCUGUUGGAGCUUCAGGAAAAUGAAGAUAGUGCUUCAUCUAUUAGCAUGAACCAACUAAAGGCCGUGCUCGUGGUAUGUUAAGCAACUAGACACAAAAAGUUGUAAAAGCACAGCGAUAUAUUUGCGCGAGGCCCCGAGUGAUGUUUUGCCUCGAGAACUCUCAAUUUUAUCUUACGGUAAAAAAUGUUUUUCAACUUUUUUUUUUAAUUAGAAUUUUAUUGCAAUUUAUUUAACAGGACAUAAUUGUGGCCGGAACCGACACCACAACUACGAUGGUGGAAUGGACAAUGGCAGAGUUGAUGCAACAUCCACAAGUAAUGAAGAAAGUUCAAGAAGAAUUCGCUCAAGCUGUGGGCAUGGACAGUUGUGUUGAAGAAUAUCACUUGCCUAAAUUAAAGUAUUUAGAUGCUGUGGUGAAAGAAACAUUUCGUUUGCAUCCUGCGUUGCCCUUAUUGGUACCUCGCACGGCAAGCAAGAAUAGCAACAUUGGUGGCUAUACCAUUCCCAACGACACUAAUCUUAUGUUGAAUGUUUGGGCUAUCCACAGGGACCCUCAACUUUGGGAUAAUCCCUUAGAAUUUCGACCUGAGAGGUUCUUGAAUGAUGGUAUCAUAAGCAAUUUCAAUUACUCGGGUAACAAUUUUCAGUACUUGCCAUUUGGUUCUGGUAGAAGGAUGUGCGCUGGGAUUGCUCUAGCUGAGAGGAUGUUGAUGCUUGUUCUGGCUUCGUUGUUGCACUUGUUUGAGUGGAAAUUGCCCUCGGGCACAAAGCUAGACUUAUCUGAAAAGUAUGGGAUUGUCAUGCGGAAAAAAGAGCCUCUAAUUGCUAUUCCAACACCAAGGCUACCAAAUUCAGAUCUCUACCAGUAAGAUCAAAAUGGUUUUGAUAAUAUUAUUUCCCAUUGUAUUGGAUUUGAAGUUCAAUCAUAAUAAAAUAUUUUAAUAAAAUGUCCUCGGUUGCUAAUUUUUCAAUAGUAUAAUCUGCACCUGUCUUUUAUAGCAAUUUGGUCUAAUUUAUUUUUGAAUUAAAAUCCAUAAAUAUUUAUAUUUUUUUAAUUAUAUUAGGAAUUAUGUGGGGUGUAUGGUCUGAUCUUCGAGCUAUGCCUUGAAAACAAAUUAUGCAUAGUCGUGCACACGCUUUCCCUAAUUAAGUUUGUGGUUCGUGCUCAAGGCACAGCAUUCACCCCCCGCGACCCAACAAUCGCUACAUUGUUCCCCACCUAAAGUGCCAACAUAUUGCAUAAGUAACGCAAAAUAUGGUCCCCAAUGGAAAACGUUGCGCAAAUUAUUUCUGGGCAAGAUGAUAAGUAACGCAAGCCUUGAUGCUUGUUAUGGUCUAAGAAAACAAGAGGUUAAAAAUACUAUCAGAGACAUAUAUAAAACAACAACAGAAAAAAUUGGCAUUAUCAUCGAUAAUGGUGAGUUGUGGAUUUCAACUUUGGUAUGUUUAAUUCAGAACCCGCAGUGGGGUGGCGCUAGCACGCCUGCGUUAGGAGACGAGGGGACCAAUCUUGGGGCCGAGCUAAAAUAUAGGCUUGUAGAGCUC